RNAcentral lists this long non-coding RNA (53003 nucleotides) under Gossypium barbadense (sea-island cotton). RNAcentral describes it as "long non-coding RNA (GBAR_LNC008722)". The stretch from base 25536 to 25680 matches the Rfam family "MIR7502 microRNA precursor family". The record is from RNAcentral. Lineage: Eukaryota; Viridiplantae; Streptophyta; Magnoliopsida; Malvales; Malvaceae.
UUUCUUUAAGUUCCAUAGUCUUUAACUUUUCCUAAUUAUACUUACGUUAGUUGACUGAAAACCUCUAAGUAUGUCAAGAAAACUGGUGAGCAUAUAGGUAUUUAAGGCAAUUCAAGAAACAUUGUGAGCAUAUAGGUAUUUGAGGGAAUCCACAUGUGAACCAUAUUGUGGAAGAACAACUAUGUUGACUCAAAAACUUUAAAUAUGUCGAGAGACAUUGUAAGCCUAUAGGUAUUUGAGGCAAUCGUAAUUGAAUUUGUCUGAAAUAAAAGGUUAUACCGACAAAAAUAAGAUCCUACUAUUAUUUUCUACCGAGGAACCUUUAUAGGAUGGUAGGAAGUUGAAAUUAGUUGUAUGUUUUAGUUGAUGUUAUUCUUUGUAUGAAAUCAAUAAAGAAAUGCUAUGCAAACAGGAGAUUAAACAUUAGGGAUUAAGGUUAAGAGGUGAUGAAGGAUUAAAGUAAUUUAGUAGCCCUUAAUGGCUCUGGUUGUGCUUUAUAAAAGUUGAGUGCCCAAUGAGUUAAAACGCUUCUGGUUUAGCUUAUUAACACAAGACCCUGAGAAAAUCAAGUAUUUAGAAAGGAAAAAAUAAAUAUUUGAGGCUGACAUCUUGAGUGUUGAACAGAAAGUUGAAUCAUCUGCUUUGAUUUAUCAUUUAUGUGCAUUAGUUCAUGAACAGAAGUGUUUCCUGUUCUAUUUGGUGGACCAAGAGCUGUCUUCUCAUAUGGUUAAACGAGUAUAAUAUGUCAGCUGCUUGGGCAUACUUAUAUGCUUUGAGAAUUGGAAGAUGAGAUUAGGAGCUUGACACUGCUAAGACUGCUAUGCUUGAAAUAGAGUUAUGGAAAGACGAUAGUAAUAGUGACUCCUUCCUGUUGGAGAGGAGGCGUAGUGAUAACGCAUCAUAUAAGCUGUUAAAAAUGUUUCCUUGCUCUGAGAAAGUUGGUUACUUCCGAUUAGGGCUUUGUUUUUCCCUGUCAGAUAUCCUCGUCUAACUCAUAGGCAGGCCUAGAUCAAGUAUUUGGAACCUCAUUCAUUAUCAAAGUAUCUACUGCCAAGCCUUGAGUAAAUUAUUUUGUUUCUAGGAAGAUUUAGAUUUUGUGAUACUUGAGCUUUGAGAGGAUUAGUAGAUAUAUAGUAUCCGAUUAGGUGAUUUGCUCAUUUGCAACACUUGGACCGGUGCCAUAAAUUAGAGGUCAAACCGAGUUGUGUACAAGAAUCUAGAUACAAAGAUGUAAGAUAGGAACAGAUAUAGAGCUGGUGACAAUGAGAUAAUAUGUGGUUUUACGGCACAAGAUCUUGUUCAACAGGAGCUACCUCCCUUCAGCUUUGCUUGGAUUAUAGGAAGAUUUGGGAAUGAAAACCAUUUAGCCUUGUGCAAAAUUGGAGAAUCCAAGAGAAAAAAUAUGAUGGGUGUGGGGCUUAUACAAGUUAGCUACACUGUUUGUCAUAACAUCUGUUGAAUCCUUUGAUCAUCUUUACAGUUUUACCACUUUGCAUGCCUGACCUGCAGGUCGUUUGAUGAACUAAAUCUAUGUAAGAUUUAUCUGCAAAUGGCAUCUAAUAGGUAUGCAGAAUUCUGUUGCUACUUUUUAACUUCUCUUAUGAAUUUUCUUAAUAUAGCUACUCACCAUGCUGACAUCUUUUUUCCUUUUUCCUUUUGGAUUUUCGAAGUGACGAUAAGAACAAAAUUGAGUGAUGAUUGUAAAUUUGAGAUGAUAAAAGAUAACAUUUCGUUUAUACUGUGUCAUGUUUUGUUCCUCCAAUUUAAUUCUGCUUCAUAGGUUGGCACAGUUAUUUGGUAUGCUUUGAUCCCUGUAAAAAAACUUCCACACAACUUUCUAAUUGAAUUUUGUUAUGGACCCAAAUUCCAUUUGAUAUUACUGUAUUUGUAAUUUCUUCAACGGUACCACUAGGUUAUUGCAUUGAUUUAGGUGUCUUCAUUUGUUUAAUCUACAUGAAAUCCAAUUAUUACUGAUGAAUGAACCAAAUUUCGAGUACAUAAACAUAGAAGCGAUGACAGCAAAAAGGAUAAAAGAUGCAUUGAAACAGUGGUAAAAGUUCUGUGUGGAGAUGAGAAAAUAUGAACUUUUCUAUGAAUAAAUCUAUUAAUGCACUAGCCAAGUCUGGGAUGGUUUUUCUUACAUCUAUAUGGGAUUCUCCUUGGGUACUUUACCUUCACUGGAUGGAUUGGAUAUUAUCAAAACUGAAAAGACUUAGUUAUACAAUAGUUUGUCUAAAUCAAGGAAGUUCAAACUGUUUCAUAGUUUGGUUGUUUUUGUCAUUAUGUUUGUAUUUUGGAUAAUGUUUUUGGAAUUUUUGUCAAAUAUAUGAUUUUUGUUUAUUUAGUAAAUUUUUAGAUCGAAGCCUAAAUAAUAGUUUAAAUAUAAAAUCUAUUUUAAAUUAAAGGUGUUUAUAGACUGCAUCGUGCCUAUAUAACCUAUUAGCACCAAUUAUAUGGCAAAAUCCGUGGUUUAAGUCUCAAAUUUUAUCAAGUUCAUUUGUAAUUUAAAUUUUUAUUUUUUAAUUAAAAAUAAUUUUUAUUUAAUAUUUAGUAAUUAAUACAUUUUUAUCAAAAAUCUAAAUAUAUACAAACUUAACAUAUUUUUUUAUUACUAUUAUAAUAUAUUUAAAUUUCAAAUGAUAUAAAUGAAUAUAAUAUAAAAUAAAAAUUUGAAAAAUAAGUUAGAUUAGGCUAUGAAUAUUGGAAUUUAGUUUUGACUCAUCUCUUAGAAGGGGUUUAAUUUCUUUUAUGAAAACGUACUUGCUAGGUUUAAUGAAGGAGGUAAAUGUCAAAAUCCCGUAAGUCCCGGAUCCGACGGGCUACAAACAAAGAGCGAUUAAUUGGAAAUGAUGGGGCUCUCAGCCCAUUAACUUUGUAAGUGAGCAAAGAGCGGUCGGUUAGGUCAUCUAAUAGUGUCAGCCCAUGCGAUGACACGCGCCCCGCGGUGGGCCAGUGAGUUUGAAAUUUAAUUUAUCAUGUACUGGAUAAGCACAAAUCGUUUAAUCAUUUUCUUACCAACGGAAUAUCACUGGACUCGCUUUCCUAGCGCGUUCCCUCCACUGACACUUUUUUUUUUUAAUCGAUACAUUAAUCAGUACUAUUUUUUUUAUUCUAUAAUAUCAAUAAUGUUUUUAUUUAUGUUUAGAAAUAAUAAAAUAUUUGUUGUUAAUUAAAAAGAGUUUUGUUUUGUAUGAGUUUACCUUUAACUAUAAAUCUACUAUUAAUCAAUUAUAAUAUAUUUUAAGAAAAUUCAUAUACAAUAGAACUUAAAUUCGAAAUAAUUAAAGAAAAAAUCAUAAAUAAUAUUUAGUACGAUGAGACUUAAAUUUAGACGAUUAGAGUUUUUUAAUGCGUCGACUUUACUAACUUUAUUAAAGUAUUAUAAAUUAAUUAUUGUUAUUGUUAUUUUUUAAAUUUAGUUAUUGUUUUAUUGCUUAAAUGGUUUUCUUUUUAAUUUCAUACAUAAAGUUUAAAUUUUGUUGAAUAUGUUUUUAUUUAAAAUAUUUAUUUAUUAAUAUGCCACGAAAAUUAAAUUAUGGUAUAUUUAUGAUAUAAUAGAAAAUAUAUUUAUUAAAAUUUUCAUAUAAAAAUUAAAUGAAAUUUUGAAUUAAACAAAUUUAAACCUUAUGUGAGAUUUUAUCAAUUUUUUAUAAAAAUAUAAAAUAAAAAAAUUUAUGAUUAAUAGCAAUUCUAUCAGAUGUAGAAUACAAAAAAAAAUAUGGUUGCUUUAGUUUAAAUUAAUUGUUAAAAAUAUUGAAAUAAAAAUUUAAUUAAGCUUAAAUUAAUUAAUUAAAUCAUAUGAGUUUGAGAAUUUAUAAUUCUAGAAUCUCAACUUUGCCAACCUAAAUAAUUAUAAUUAAUCAAGAAUAUUUUUAAGGGAUAAUUAAUACCUUUUAAUACUAAAUAAUAAAUAUAAAACAAAAAACAUAAAGUCUUUAAAACAAACACAAAAUUUAUUUUAUUUUUUCAUUAUAGGAAAAAAAAAAUCACAUAAAGGAGAGAAGCACACACACACACAUACACACACACGCGGCCACAAGCAGCAGAGGGUUUUCGCUGAAAAGAAGCCUUUGUUUUUCUUUUAUAAGCAUCGUUUCAAAAAGGAUAUAAUCUCUCUUUUCAAUUCUUUUUUUGCCUCUUUUAAGCUGCUCCGCCUGCUCCUUCGUUGCUGUGAGAGAGAUAGAGAAGACGACAAAAGGAAAAAACCUAAAACUGUGAACGACGUCGUUUCCUUCUCAGAUCUGACACACACAGAGAGAGAUAAAAGAGAAGAGAAGAGAAGAGAAGAGGGGGGGUUAUCCCGGUGAGAGAGAGUGAGGAUGAGCGGGAAAGGAGGCGGAGGUGGAAAUAAUGGGAUAGGGAAGGGUAAUAAUAGUGGACUUUCAGGUAUUCCGCCUGGCUCUCGCAAGAUGGUCCAGAGCUUGAAGGAGAUUGUUAACUGCCCUGAACCUGAGAUCUAUGCUAUGCUUAAAGACUGUAAUAUGGACCCUAACGAGGCUGUCAAUCGCCUCCUCUCUCAAGGUUCCCCCGCCCUUUUUUUCUUUAUUCCUUUUUUAAAUUUCUUUUAGUGCUCCUUUUACCCUUGCUGGGUUUUUUUUUUCGUUAUAGAAAUAUUUAAUUUUUUCGGUUAUGCGAAAGGUUAACUGUUGGGUUUCGGUGCUUUACUAAGGAUAUAAUCUGCUUAAUUGCUAGGUUUCUUGGUUUGCUCCGAGUGCUUUAGUUUAGAGUGUAUUUCCAGCAAUAACAUUUUUUAUAAUAUAUUAGCAUUUGCUAAUAAUUUAUUAAGCCUUCAUCUUAAUAAGAACAUCGCUUUUGUAAUUCUCGAAAAUAUGUUUAUUUUUUUCAUAACAAUGGGGCAGCUCAAGUUUUGGGUUUCUAAUGGUUACUGUAUUUCAUUGCUGAUAUCUUAUUUGCGAUAUGUGUAGAUCCUUUUCACGAGGUGAAGAGCAAACGAGACAAGAAAAAAGAGGUGUGUGCCAGUGGAAAUUACGCUAAAUGGAUUGACUUUGCAUUCAUAACCAUCCCAUAUUUAUUUCUUCUUAGUGUUGCUGUUACACCGUUCGAGCAAUAUAGGUCUUACUGGUCAUAUAGAUCAUGCAUCAUGUGAGACUCUCACUUGCUUUCGGGAUUACGAAUGAGUGUUUAAUCUGAUUCACUUUUGACCGCAUGUGCUUUCUCUUUGAAAGCUUCUUAAAAAUAUAUUCUAACCAUUUGUGAUGGAUUUGUUGGAUCUUAUUAUCUCUUUUGAUUUUUUUUCCUCCCCUUUUUGUUCUAGAGCAAGGACUCAGUUGAAGCGAGGUCUCGUGGUGCCAAUAACCUUGGGAGUCGUGGUGGUAGGAGUGGUUCAGACCGAUAUGCUGGGCGUGGUGGUUCAUCCCAUUACAGUUCAAAUGGUAUGACUGUGAACAUGCUCUAAUGCCACUUUGGAGAUGUGUUGCUUGCACUCCGUUAAAAAAUUGCUUUGGAACUCUUUUAGAUGAUUCCUUACCAAUUGAGUACUCUUUUUUCUGGUUAGAGUCUGGCCCUUCACAUGGUAAACCUGCACAAAAGAGAGAAAAUGGAGGUCAUCCUGUUGCAGGGUUUUCAUCUUCUGCAUCUGGUAUGCGAGGAAAUAACAUGAAUCGUGGACCUCAAUCCCACAGGUAAUACCUGUUAGUCUCAGAAGUUAUAGUUCCUUUAUGUUUACGCCACUGAGGAACAGAAAGCUGCUAUAAGUUCUGAGUUCUAAUGACCUUUCUUUUUCGUGCAUGUCAUUGGAUUCUUUGUCUUGCUUAAAUGAUAUCUAUUUGUAUCAAAUCAUUCUUUCACGGAAUUAGUUACUUCCACCAUUAAGCCUCCCUGGGUAAGCAUUUGAAAUGAUUAUUAUCAAAGGUGGCUAGUUUGGCAAGGACAGAUGGGACCCUAAUUGUUCCAAAUGCUUGCCAAACCAUGUUAACUGGAGUUUGGACCUGAGGCACUCAAACAUUUGUCAGCAACUUCUUUUCAAACUUUUAGUUGGCUGAAUUUGGUUUUCUUUUUCCCUAUCUUUGGAUGGUAUUUAAAUCUCUGUUCCAUAAACCUUGCAACAUAUGGUUUUCUUGUGUUGGCCACUUUCUUCUCAUGUGAGUUUUGCUGGUUUUGCAGUGAAGUUGCAGUUUCAGAACAUAAAAUUUCCACAGUAGGUUUAGGUGAUGGGGUUUCUUCUUCAUCACAGCCUACUGGAUACCAAUCUGCUUGGUUGGGGGUUCCAGGUCAAGUAUCAAUGGCUGAUAUUGUGAAGAUGGGCAGGCCACAAAACAAGACUUCUGUGGUGCCAAACCCAUCUCAGCAAAGCACUAAUAAUCGGCAUCAUGUGGUUCCUCCUCCAGCAGCAUUACAGUCCAACUUACAGGACCAGGCUUCCAAGGUGGCAGAUAUUUCUUACGAGCCUGAUGGCACCAAAAAUCAGCAGGUUUCUCCAAGAGAUGAAUGGCCCCCCAUUGAGAAUCCAUCUGCUGCUAGUGUGACGUCUGUCUUAGAGGCCCCCGCAGAAUCUGGACUUUAUGCUAAUGCAUCUAACUUGGCCUUGGGUAGAAGUAAUCAACAUUUGAAAUCCCAGUUGGAGGAAUCUCAGGCAGUGGAUGAUGGUCCUCUUGAAACUGUCAAUAAUAACCAUGUUAGGUCCCCUUCUAUUUCAAGUAGAAAUAUACAAGAGGAUAACUCCAGAGGUUCAUCUCUUUAUGAUAACGACUUAUAUAAGGACGUGAAUUCCUAUCAGCCUCAAAGACCUGCCUUUGAGAACGAAGAAGGUUAGUGUAGUGCUUUAAAUCACUCAAUUUUGUGCGUUUUCUGAUGAAGGUAGUAUACUGCUUUGAUGAAUGUUUCACUCAGUAUGAAGGAUACAGUACUGAUUAAGGCUUGUAUACACUGAAUGCAAUUUCUUUGACAACCCAUUUCUGAUCUUCAUGCAAUAUGGAUAUGUAUGUUUUAGGGUUACUGUAUUGCUUAUGUUCUCCCUCUCCCAAUGACAAUAUCCUAUGUUGCCAGCAGCUUCUGAUUUUUUUAUUAUCAUUUUCUUCCCCUUUAUAUUAUGUGGAUAUGUGAGGCCGAACAGAAUAAAAUUGGAGUGUAGGAAAACAAUUGAGAACCCGGGGGGGGGGGAUGGUUUAGUUCCAAAUUAUUGAUGCACUAUGAAUCUAUCUGAGUAGGUUUAGUUCAUACAUUGGUAUGGAAUUUUUAAUCUUUUAAUGUAUCCUUUGCUCAUUUUUAUCUGCUAUGAAUGUCUUUUGAACUUAACACAUUUUAUGUCCUUUCUUUUGUUCUUUUUCAGCUGAAGAUGGUUCUUCAUCAGUAGCUGUGGAUUUGCAGCAACUUAAUUUGCAUAAUGAUGAUAGGGAGCCCCCAACUGAAGAGGAUAAUCCUUCUGUAAUAAUUCCAAAUCAUCUACAAGUCCACACCCCGGACUGUUCGCAUUUGAGUUUUGGUAGUUUUGGACCUGGAAUUGGUUCUGGCUUUUCUGGACAAUUUGCAUCAAUGACCACAAAGAAUAAUUUGGAUGAUGUUCCUGAAGUAGCAGAUGCAUCAUCUAUUGGGCACUCAGAUAAUAGGUAUGACCUUCUUAAAAUGCUUAGUGCCUUGCUUCACUUAUCUGUUUGUUACAAUUGUGUAAAAACUUUUGCUUUCAGGAAUCCUGAGUACUAUGGUGAUGAACAUCUCAGAAGUGACACGGAAGGAAAUAUAAUAAAUAGAAGUAAUGUUAGCACUGCAAACUAUGAGGUUCCUGAAGAUUCUCAACCUGAGGUUUUGAAACAGGAUGUUUCUGAAGCUGCCCAAGGGAGCCAAUAUUCAUUUCCUCCAUCUGCGUCUGGUUAUAACUAUGAAAACUCUGAACAAUUAAAUCCUUCUUUCGCCCAUAUGCAGACAAGCUCUCAAAUGCAAAAUCUCAAUCCUUUCUCAAGUGUAAUGGUAAUGCAACUUUACAAAUUUGUUUUUAAUGCAUAAACUCUAUCAUUCCAAGCUGAUGAUUCAACCAUAUGCCAUAGAGUUGGAUUAGAAAUUUUCUUUAAUGUAUAAUGUUCUGGUUGAUACUUGAUAGCGGCAUCUUGUUUACUCGAUUUCAAGAAAACUCCUGUUGUGCUGCUUGAAAUUAUGGAUUAAACCUACUAUAUUUUUGGAAUACAUUGUUAGUUUUCUUGAAUGUCUGUCUCUUCUCAACAUAAUGGUUUUUCUUACAGCAACCAUAUACAAACUCGUUGCCGAGCACUUUGUUGACAUCAACUGUUCAGACUGCAAGGGAGCCAGAUCUUCCAUAUUCACCCUUUCCUGUGACUCAGUCAAUGCCAACAAGAUAUAGCAAUGCCACCUCUUCCAUUAGUGGUCCAACCAUUUCUAUGCCAGAGGUACCCUUUGCUUUAUAUUAUUGAUUUCUUGGUGCUUUUACACUUUUUGCAGUUCUAAUUGUUGGGACUGUUUUUAAUGGUUCAAGUGGCCAAGAAGGGAAAAAAAUAUUGUUCCUUUUUUUUUCUUGCUAACACUUAUGGUGGUCUUAUUUCAAGAUUCUUCUGAAGAUGAAACUUCAUCUUGUCUGAUAUUGGAGCUAUGCGUCAUUUUAGCUGGAACUUUAUGUUGUUUAGUGUCAUUGUGUGUCUUCUGUCAUGUUUAUAUGUUUGACUAGAUAGAUUUUUGGUUGUGAAAACUCAUGUUCUAUGGUGACAUGGAAAUGUCCUCAAACUCUUGUUUCUUGAUAUGGAACAGUGACCUUUGACUACUUCUGUCCAUCACUUUGUUGUCCCGAAUUAUGCGUCUGUCUCUACCUGAUAUGCAUUUAUUAUUAUUGCGGGAUCCACUUUUUGGGGAAUGAGUCAAAGCAAGAACAAUAAUAUUUCUUGUGGAACAUCUUUCAUGAUCCUUGGAGAGAGUUCACUAGUAGAUUUGGUUUGUUUCUCUUUUUUUUUUUUUUAAUGCUUGUGUUGGAGUAAAAGGAGGAGCAAAAACACCCAAAAACAAGAGUUAGGGGUGGGGGAUGGUAAAAUGUGAAAGGCCAAUUUGGACACCUACCUAACUAAAAACAUUUUGUAAUUGGUUGGACUUAAUUGUUCCUUUCUUGAUUAACUUGUUGUACGUGUGCAGGCUCUAAGAGCAACUAGUAUUUCUGCAGCGCAGCCCACAGAGCAGUCACUGCCUGGUGCGAGUGUUGCUACAGGACCUGCACUUCCGCAACAUCUAGCCAUGCACCCUUUUUCCCAACCUACACUUCCAUUGGGACACUUUGCCAACAUGAUUAGUUAUCCUUUCUUACCUCAGAGUUACACCUAUAUGCCAUCAGCUUUCCAGCAAACAUUUACUGGUAAUAAUAACUAUCCUCAGUCCCUGGCAGCAAUGCUCCCCCAAUACAAGAACAGUGUUUCUGUAAGUAGCUUGCCUCAAUCUGCUGCAAUUCCAUCUGGCUAUGGGUUUGGGAGCUCUACCAACAUCCCUGGAGGACUUCCUCUGAAUCCACCUACUGCACCUGCGGGGACAACUAUUGGCUACGAGGAUGUUCUUAGUUCUCAGUACAAGGACAACAAUCAUUUAAUGUCACUCCAGCAGGUAAUUGCUGUACAGAGCAUUGAGAAAUCUCAUUUAGAUUUAAUUGUAUACAUUCAUUACUAUGGAUUUAUGGUGCAUGAAUAAUUUACAUUCAUUCUUAUUGAAAGUACUGAUGAAAAAAUUGUCCUUCCAUUUUCUUCCUUUACUCUCAAAGGUCCAUGAUUUCAUGUAGUGCUACAGUUAUACAUGAGUUCGCAUUCUUUUCUGCUUCUUUGAACCUGAAGCGUGCCCUUUCUUUUCUAUGUUUUUGUGUUUAGAAUGAGAAUUCAGGCAUGUGGAUUCAUGGCCCCGGCUCACGAACGAUGUCUGCUGUUCCUGCAAGCACAUAUUACAGCUUCCAGGGGCAGAACCAGCAGGCUGGUGGGUUUCGACAAGGGCAGCAACCACCUUCACAGCAUUUUGGGUCACUUGGAUACCCAAAUUUCUACCAUUCGCAAACGGGAGUAUCGCUGGACCCUCAGCAGCAAAACCCUAGGGAUGGGUCCCUGAGUGGGUCUCAAGGCCAGCCACCAUCAAAGCAGACCCAGCAGUUAUGGCAAAACAAUUACUAAUCUCGUCUCCUCCUGGUUUUUCAGGGUCUUAUAGUGAGUUUGAAAGUGGCCAAUCAAAGGGCCUUCUAGCGACUGAGAAUAACUAUACGUGCAGAUCAUCAACAAUGAUGGGGUCUGAAGAGACUUUGGCUGGCUACUGCCCUGUGCCAUGAGGUUGUAUUCUACUUUUAAUUUAUUGUUCUGUUCUGUUCUGUUAUGUUAACUUAGGAACACAGUGUGCUAAUUUGGGAUAGUGGACUUACUUUACCCUUUUCACUUUUUCUUCCUUGAUUGUUUCCUUCUUUGCCCCUCUAUUUCUCUUAUAGUAAAAAAAUUGUCUCCUUUUUCAGAUUUCAUAUCUCAUCUCAUGUUUCUUACUCUUACUGUACUGUAGCAUGAGGUAUUUGCUUUAAUCAUUUAUAAUUAAUUAAUACUACCAUUUUAGCCUGUUAUCUUUAUGCUACACUGCUACAUAUCAUGGCUGUUGGGAUCCAUAACUCCCAUUAGCUAUUAUUGUUGCAAUAAUUUUGUUUCGUACGACACUGUGUAUAUAUACACAAAUUAAUCAAUUUAAACAAUUCACAUACCAGAUAGAAGAAUUCCAUGGAGUGGCCUUUAAUUUCUUUGAUAAAAUAGAGGCUUUGCUUGAUUAAAACCCACCCAUAGCAUAGUUCUGAGUUCACACCUAAGGCUUUCGUACCCUAUGCUAUUGUUUAUUGUUAUAUUUUGGGAUGUUUUGAAAAUUUGCUGUUUGUGCUUUCAUUAGAGGGUCAUCUUUACUGAUUAUAAUUAAGAUGGUAAUAUCUAGGGUUUUAAUUCAAACAAGUGUUCACACUCUGCGAUUUUUACUUGUAAGUGAAUGGAAGGAGAUUUAACUAUUAAUGUCACACUAUUGAAUUAAAUUUAUGUCAUAAAAUUAAUAUUUUUUUAAUUGCUACAAAAAUGAUCACUUUGGUCGUUUAUUUGGAAUCGAAUGCAAUGUUGUUUCUUUUUUAAUUUUUCAUGCCCUGUACUAUUUUGAGUUCAUAAAUAUUUUAAGUGAGUUGGAGUAGUUAAGCAGUAUCCAUUUGUGGCGCAAUUAAUAGACAGGUGUGAGAUGUUUCAGCAAAGUUGUCACCCACUUCACUCAAAAUUUCAAUUCAAAGUUCAAACUAACUUUUUCUAGGUCUAAUUGUGAUCAAAACCUCUAACUAUUCUCAAAUGUAAAUUUUAAUAUUUCUGCUUUAGUGACUACUUGCUUUGAUCAAGUAGCUAACUAUUUGACCUAACCAAUAAUAAAAGAUCCAUUACAUGAAUUAAAUAUGGAAUUUGAGCAUAGUGAAAAAACCAAAACCCCGACCCUGUCUCUACUUCUCAAAGAGUGUAGUUGAAAUAACGCCAACAUUUGGAGACUUGCUAAACCAAAACCAACAAAAGGAUAAAGGAAAAAAAGCAUGGUAUUAAUCCAUUUAUUUCGGAUUGUUCUACAGAUUAUCAGUUGUAGACAGCAACAAAAUGUUAUAACAAUAACUUGGAAAAAAAUAUGCUAUCAGCCAUCUACUUUUGACCCUUUUUUACCAGACAGCAACCUCUGCGAUUUUACAAUACCCUGGGGUCCUUUUAUAAACUUUUUUUGGACACUUAAUGCACGCUAUAAAAUCCUAAUCCAAUGAAUAAAAUUCAUUCCGGUUUUUGUCGAGAGCAAACCGACAGUUGGUGGGCAUGUUUUCCGCGUGAACCGAUAUCACAUAUCUGGAAAAAGAAAACAUCGGAAAAUUCACUGGUUAUAAUCCGAAUACGAACUGAUAAAAUGUAAUAAAUCUGAUGCAAUAUCUAUUCUAAUCACAAUUCUCCAUGGAUAGAUGACAGACGAUAUUUGGUUAGCAAACUAGGUACAACAUUCAACAGGACAAGCUUGAGGAAACUUCGACCGAACAUGAAAUGCUCAUAUCCUAUUAAGUCAAUAGGAUCUGCUUUUAUUCUGUUCAUAACCUCAUAUGCAAGUAAUCCUUAGCAGAUUUAAUAAAACACCAUUCUCAUAAAGAAAUGAUUCAAAAUCCUACAGCAGCGAGGUCAUGUGUGUUCGAUUUUCAAUAAUCGGAACAGAGUCAAACCCAAUUCCAACAAUCCUACACCAAGUCUUAAGACCAAACAGGCAAAAUGCAAAGCUUCAACAGUGUGAAAAAAACCAACAUCAGAUUCCAUAUGCAGAGACCAUAUCAGAAGAUGUUCACAAAUUAAGACACUGUUAUAUCAAAUGCAAGCAUUGAAAUAUGUAAACUUCAUAAAUGGAAAAACUAUAUCAACUGCUAGCAUUAUUACAUUGAACAUUAAACAACAACAAAUUGACUUCAACUACUAGAUCCUUAAAUUCAUCAAACAACCACCAAACCCUAAAAAUGCUGUAACAUGCAAAGUGUUCUUUUUCUUUAUUUAUUUAUCAUGUCUUUGUUUAAAAAAACUUACCCUAAAUAUUGAAUGAAUCUUCAAUUUUUCCCCAUCAUGACUUUGAAACAGGCUUUUGCAACAAAGCAGACAAAUAAACUUCACCAUGUUUCAAACCACUAGGAUCUGUCUUGUUAGCCACUGCCCAUUUCACUUUCUUGUAUCCAAGCUUACCAAUCAAUGGCCCAUAAAUUUUCUCAAGAUCCACUGCUUUGCUAAAGAAUCGAUCCACCCACAAGUACCCACCACCUCUCAACACUCUAUCCACAUCGUAGAACAUGAAUUCCAUCACCGACAAUGGUAUCCACCGGUUCACCGCUCUCCCACACCGGACCAGAUCCAUUGUGCCGUCGAAAACUGGGAACCUUUGUUGUAAAGGCACGUGUAAUGGCACUAACCCCCUUAAUGCCACGGCUUCAUUGUAAGGCGCAUUGACGUUCAUGGUGGUGGUCAACAUCGUGACGUUGUAGGAUUUCUUCAUUAAUGCAGCGAAAGUUCCGGUUCCACCGCCUAUGUCAAUACCGAGACGGAUCGGUGAGUUAGCCGAUUUGGCCAAUUGCAUGAACUGCGUCAAGGGAAGAUCGAGUUCCGAAGUGUAUUUUAGAAGGGAAGAGCGUUGAGCGUUGAGAUCGAACCCAGUGGGGUUGUUUUGAGACAAACAAGCGAAAGAUUUACACGAGUAUUUGUUCCAUAUAACGCCGGAAUCGGGGAGUGAAGUCGGGAAAGGAGUUAACGGAAGUGAAGAAGGCGGUUUCGAUGGGGUUCUAGAAAAACAACGCCGCCGUGGAAGUGGGUGACAGCCGUUAAGAAUAAGCGUCUCUUGGAUGUCAGGAUCGUAAGGGCAAGUCGAAAAAGGAGUGUAAUUCAUAUACCUAUGAAGAAGAUCAGGAUGGUUGUGACAAGAAGAAGCAAUGGGACCGAUCUGAGAGUGGAGGAUAAGAUCUCGAGGUACAGCAGAACUGGGUUCAGCAGUGGUGGAUGAAGGAGGGUUAUGGCGCGUGAGGUGGUUAAUGGUGGCGCGUAAGGUGUUAAGCUGUCGGAGAAGGUGGUCAGGGACGGGAACAGGGGGAGGAGGGUUGGGAGAUUGGACGGUGGAAGAGAGAUGGUAAAGGGAAAGGAUAUUGGUAGCUACCAUGACUAAGAGGAGAACGAAGUUCAAACCCAUGGUGAAACCCAUUGAAUUUCUGGUCCUUCCUCUACGGCUACGCUACUUUUUUCCCUUCUGAGAUGCUUCGAUUCUUGGGUUUUUGUUAUUCUCGAUCUUGGUGAUUCUUAACUUCACAGGUUUUUGUCUGAUACUUACUUAAUUUUUUUGGUGUUAUAAUUUUGGAGGUUUUAACUCGUUUCCAACUUCAAUCCUCACUUCUCAGUGUCACUGUCUCUCACAUGUUUUUAUUUAAUAAUUUGAUUAAUUUUAAAAUUAGAUUAAUAUAAUUCUGUACCUAUAUUUAAUUUUAAUGUUUAAUUUAUAUUUCAAUUUUUUUUAAAUUCACCUAUGGAGUUUUAAUUUGAUUGGUGUGAAUAUUAUUAUCAAUAUAAGAGGACAUAAGUUUAAAUAUGCUAAAAUUAUAAUCUCCUAUUUAUGGAUUGGGGAAGGAUAUUGACACUUUAAUAUUUAAAUUUUUUUUAAUUAAGCACCUAAAUUUAGUUUCACUAUUUAAUUUAAUAACAUAAUUAAAUAAAUAUCUGAAUUUAGUUUCAAUGUUUAAUUUAGUAAUUAAAUUUUUUUUUUAAAAUACACAUGUCAAAUAUUCAUUGGAUCAACAUAUUAUCAUUUGAUCCAAGUAUAAAAUGAAUAUUAAAAUUAAAUACAGAUACCAAAUAAUAUAUUAACUCAAUAUUUAAUCACUUCACUCACGAGUGACCUGAAAUUUUCUUACAAAUUUGGCCUUGAGUAUUGUCUGGGUUUUCAAUUAUAUUACGUAGUACUGUUUAAGUGGGGAAUUUUUAGAUUUGAUUUGGGAGAUUGGAUCUGAACCGUUAGUUAUAGUCAGGUGGGGUCAAUCAAUGCAGUUUAGGAUAGAAUGAAUCGAAAGCAAAAGGAUGCUUAUUACAAUUUGCAUAUAUCUCUGGCUCUAUGUUGCUAGUUUUUUAAAUAUGUUUUUAAAGCAAUCAUAUAAAUAUUAUUUUAAAAACUAUAAAAUCUGAAUAUAUAUAUUUAUAUUCGAUAUUAACUUAUAUAUUUAUAAAUAGUGACGGAGCAUAAUAGAGAUCAUAAAUAAUGACUUCCCCUAAAAUAAUAAAAUUUUAAUUUAUAUCAUUUAUAAUUUAUAAAAUUUUAAAUUAAUAAUGAUAAAAUUACAUUUUAUCUAAAAAUAAUAAAAAUUUAAUUUAUUAAAAAAAUAAAAUUAUAUUUUUAUUAUAAUAAAAAUAUAUAAUUUAAUUUCGAUUUUCUCAAAAAAAAAAAACUCCGCUGUUCAUGUAAAUGAGAUGGUGUAUUAUUCACGAUUGAUGAAUUUAUGAACGAAUAUUAUAAAAGAGGGGGAAAAAGAACCGGUGUCACGUGAUAUUAGGAUCUACUUGGAUUUAUUAAAGCAAUUUCUUGCAGAUUUGAAUUAUAUAUAUACUAUAAAAUAUUGUUGGGGAAGCUGUCGGCCUGUCAUCCUCUUCAACAUUUGAAAGGGACACUGAUACCUUUCCAUUUUAUUGAGGAAAUAUCUAAAUUCAAACCAAUCAAUUUCAAAGAAAUUUGAUUAGUCCUAAAAUGUUAUUCAACUAGUAAUUUUAAUUGAUAUAACCUAAAUUGAAUUAAAUUUAAAAUAAUUUAAACAAAAAAAAUUCGACUGAGUAACUCAAAAAGAUUUGCAUUCAAAUUGAUAAGAGAUUAUAAUGAUUCAACUUGAAAAAUCAAUCAUCAAGCCUUAAUAACUGGACCAAAAAAAUUAAAUGCGUAUACCUAGAUACAAGGUGAUGUAAUGGGUCGAAGCGAAGUUAGAUUAUUUGUCCAAAACAUUGGAUUUGAGUAAGACCCAAGUUGAGUCAAUCCGAGCCCAACCCAAUGAUCCUUUCUUUUUGGUUAAUAAUUUAAAUGGAAAAGAGAAGUGAUUUUAAGGUAAAAUCGAACAUAAAUCGCGUCCAGCUGAAGCUAAAAGCCUGCGGAAAUCUCUCUCCAGUGAAGAAGCCUUUGAACCUACAGUCUUUGGUGGAGGAGAUCCACUGACUCUCUAAUCAAUGGUAUUCUUUUCAAUUUUCCUUUUGAUUCGUACUAAGUUUCUCAGCAACCAAACAUCUAAUUAGGGUUUCAUUCCACUGUCUUUGUUUGAACCUUUCUUUUUCUUUUUUAUUUGUCCGUAAUUAUUAAUUCUCAACUGUUAUAUUUGUUUUUGGGAGUAAUAGUAGUUGAUGACUUUUAGUUUAAUAAGAAAAAAAGAGGAAUAAAUUUAGGUUUUUUUGGAGUAUAGAGUACACUGUGAUAGUGAAUUUUGUUUUUUUCUCUGGAACAGGGGAUUGUAAUAAAUUUCGUAAUUUUUGUAGGCUGAUCCUGAACUAGAAGCAAUUAGACAAAGAAGGAUGCAAGAGUUAAUGGCUCGACAGGGGGUGGUAAUCUAUUUCUUUUUCGUUUUAAUAUCUAGGAAUUCUAGAUUGGCCUGCUUGUGCUUUUAAUUUAAUGUUACUAAUUGUAGUUUGUUGAUAAACAGGGGAAUCAACAGAACCCUGAACAACAGAAAGCUCAGGAAGAUGCCAAGAGGUCAGUUUCUUAUAUAGAUGCAUAUUGUUUCUAAAUCAUUAAUAUUUUAAGAUUUAUUUUGGGAUCAAAUUAGUUCAUUGAUUUGACUAGUAAAAGCCAUUAACUUAGGGAGGCAGAUGAACGGAGGCAAAUGAUGCUUAGUCAGAUUUUGUCCAGUGAAGCACGCGAGAGACGUAAGCUCCUAUCUCAGUUCACCAUUUGAGUUGAUUCAAGAAGCCUACUGUUAAUUGCUUAUAUGCUUAUUAGUACGUGCAUUCUAUCAUUAAUUGCAGGCUAUUCUAAGUUGUUUUAUUUAACUAUUAGUUAUUAAUGUUGGAUUCUGUAUUUAUGGUAAUCAAUGGACUGUUAAAUCUUUGAAUUUAAUAUACUUGUCUUGUCAGAAAAUGUUUGUGCUUUCUAAGGGCUUAUUAGUAUUUAUUUAUAUUGUUAUAAAAAAGUAUUUAUUUAUAUUAGUUUGUGUAUAAGAUUUUGGAUCUUAAACCAGUUCACGAGUUAGCUUUCGUAUAAACUUUUUUGAAUACUUAUCGUUUAAAAAUAACAAAAAAAAUUUGAGUAGUGAACUCGUGCUUCAGGAAGCAUGGAGAAGUGUGCUUAUAAGUAUUUAUUUAUAUUAGAAAGAGUGAAGACCUAAUUCGAGUGCGAGUUCAAAAAAUUCUGGAAGACUUGAUUAGAAGUCCUAGAAUGAAAAAUGCUAUAAUAGGCCUGGUAGCAAUAUAUUGUUUCUCAAAGACUGAAUUUGAUCUGUUCUCUUUGAUGGUGAAGACUUAUCUUAGACUUGAAUUAUGUAGUGUGAGAUAUCUGAAUAUAAAGGUCUUUAAAAUCUGAGUUGAGUUAUAAAAUGGUAAGUAUGAAUCAUAUAGUAUGCAGUUUUUAGAAAACUCCUACCAAAUACAAACAGUGCAUAAAAUCGUUUGAAGAUACAUCCCUUAUGCCAUUGUAAAUCUUUCAUUCGUAUAUCCCCUAUACUAUUGCCUCCCCUAUACCUCUUUGAAAUUACAACGGAGCUAAAAACGAGAAGAAGACAUGAUCAUGAAGGAAAAAUAGUACAACUUCCUAAUGACAGGCAUAUAUGGCAGAUGCUCUUUUUGCUGUACUUUUUACCAACAUAUAAUUCCUUUCAUUUAAGUUCUUUGCUGUUAUAUAACUUUGUGCAGUUGCUCGAAUCGCCUUGGUGAAACCUGAGAAGGCUAGGGGUGUGGAGGAUGUUCUACUAAGAGCUGCUCAGACAGGCCAGAUAGUUGAGAAGGUAUGGUGAAAAUUUUCUGGUCCAACUACUUUUUCUUGCUUGCCUAAUAUUAAGGGUGUGCAAUUAUUUAGUAUUACUUUGCAGCCAAGCUUUGAUAAAGAACUGAAAUGUGUAUGGUUGAACCCUUGUAAAGGUUUCAGAGGAGAGGCUUAUAUCGCUGUUGGAACAGAUAAACACCCAAACAACUAAACAGACCAAAGUCACCGUAAGUUAUUUACACGUUACCGACUUGCCCUGUCUUUAACGUACUCAGCCCAUAGUUAGAAACUAUUUUGAUUUGCUUCCAUUAUUUAUCCGAUUUUACAGAUCCAGAGGCGUCGGAGUGUCCUCGAUGACGAUGAUUAGAUCAAACUUGAACUGUGAAAACCUCUGCCUGAUUUGUGGGGUAUAUUUAUAUAUUCAUGCAAUUAAUGGACCAGCUUUUAAUGGAUUCUUGAUAUAUUUUAAGACUUGUAUUUCCUCUGCAAUGCUGUUAUGGUAUAUUGAGCAAUAAAGCUGGCGGGUGCUGGCUUAGAGUUUUAAAGAGUAGUGUGAAAAUGCUCUGUAAGUUAAAAUAUUGUAGAGGUUUGCUAAGUGAUGCUUCAUAUGAAAACUUGUUUUCUUCUUCUUUCUCCUCUUUAAAACCGAGAACUCGAAAAGUUUUUGCAUAUGCACAUUUUACUUAAAAAAUAGACAAAUUAUCCCAUGUAAAUUAAAUAAACAAGCAAAUCGGUCAUUUCUAUUAAAAGUUUCAUCCAUGAAAAUUUAACAGAAUAGAUGAAAUUUUUCGCACGUUUUUAAAUUUGGGUAAAUUUUGGUAAGUCACUUGUUAAACUAUCGUCAAUUUUUUUUUAUUAAAAAGUUGAUUGGACCAAUAGAAUUUAAAUAUUCAUAUAUAUAUGUGAAUUGUAGUGGUUAAGGAUCAAAUUAAAAAGAACCCUCUUAAAAUAAUUUUAAAAAUCAAUUAAAUUUUUAAUUGAAAAUCACAUUCAAUUAGGGUGUUAAAUGAAAAAUUAACAAUUAAUUGAACUCUUAAAGAUAAUUUUUCCAUCGAAAUUUUUUAUGAUUUAUCAAGUGAUGACAUAAUUGAUGAUGUAGAGUGACAUUCGAUUAGAAAGUUUAAUUGAUUUUUAAAUUAUUUAUGAUGGCUUUUUAGUAUUCAAGCCACUCAAAAAUUUUGACAGACUUCAAAAUAAUUAUAAAAAAUCAAGCUAGGUAAGAACUUUUUUAAAAAUAUUAUAAAUAUUAUGAAAUUUCUAAUAAUAUUUUAAGAAAGCCAAAAAAAAUCUAAGAAAUUAUAAAUUUUUUUGAAACUUUUAAGAUUGAAAAUUCAACCAAUAAAUUUAAUUAGCACAUUUUAAACUUACAUUUACUGUACAAAAUAAAUUAGUCUUUCAACUACUGUAUAAAAAAUCCUAAUUUUCUUUAAAGAAUGCAACUAAAAUAAAAAUAAAAUAAAAAUAUUUUUAUAACAGUAAUAUUAAGGAUGCCUCUUUCUAUUGAUUUAUUUGAUUGUGAAUUUAAAGAAAUAAUUUAGGUUAGUUUAGUGCAUAAGCUAACAUAUAUACAACAUUUACAGAUAUACAAAUCAAUUAGGCAAAUAAAUUACUUGGGCAACAAUUUUUUAUUAAAUUUAUUUAUUUUAAUUUUUUUUAAAGUUUUCAUUUUCCAUUUUAAUUUUUAAAGUCUUUUAUUUUUCAUAUUAUUUAUUAUAGACUUUUCAAUUUUUUUUAAAAGAUUCCUUCUAAAAUUUUUAGAGUUUUUACCAUGCUUAUUUGUCGUAUUGUUAGGAAUUUUGAUUAAAAAGUUAAUUUUACAAGCUUAAUGGAUUGCUAUUUUCUUAUUAAGAUUACAAUGUGUGAGCUUAAUUAAUUUUUAAAUUAUUUUAUGAGAUUUUUUUAAAGAAUUUAGCUAAUAAUUAAUGGGGUUAUUAAUUUAAAUUUUUUAAUAAUACUACAAAAAAUUAAAUUUUGGGUUCUCUUUUACAUAUUAGGAUUAUUAAUGGAAAGGGUUAACACGUAGUUUGUCUCUUAAAUUUGUUUUAAAGUACUUGGUAUAGAGCAGUGGUUGAAGUUCUUGUUAGACAUAAGUUCAAAUUAUAUUAUCCCAUCCCCUACCUCAAAAUUUUAUUAAAAAAAAUACCUAGUUGAUAUCUUUUUUUUUUUUUUACUUAGUUGACAUUUGAAUUUGUAUUCCGUCACACAAGUUGUACAUCUACACUAAUGUUGUUAGUUUAUGCUGAUGUAACAUUGAUAAUCAAUCUAGUGAUGACAUGUGGUAUAACCUCUCAAGUAUGCCACGUGGAAAACAUAAAUAAAAAGUAAAAUAUUUAAAAAUAUAUAAACUAAUAAAAAACUACUUAAAAACACAUCAUGAAUAAAUCUAGCCAAAUGGGUGUCUAGAUUCAGAUAUAUCUAGAAAGUCAUUUAUCUAAAUUCAUUCUUGCUAUAAAAAGUGUACAUUUUUUAUUAAUUUAUAUAUUUUUUAAUUUUUUUAUUUAUAUUUAUCACGUGAUAUAUCGAAAAAUUAUUACGUGUCAUAUUAUAUCAAUAUAAACUAAUCAUAUUAGUACAACGAACAUAAAUUUAAAUACCAAUCGAGUGGAAGUGUAAUGUAGAAGCAAUGAUGUUGAAAACAUACCUAAUCCAUGUUGCCCAUUCCAUCGUACAGCUGACUCAUUGGUUUAAUUUGGAAUUGACUUUGACUUUUGUACGUCUUUUAACUUUUUAUCUCUCAAUGUCAACACAACAUGUCAUGUUUUGUCUACCUCAGCCUGCCCAAUAAAUGCCUAAGUUUUCCUUCCUCGUGUUAAAGUCAAUUGCAAACUCACAAACCCCUCCUACCACCUUCAUCCAUUUAUACUUUCCAAUUAAAUAUCGUGUUUUUUUUUCGAAUAAAAAUAAAUAUACCUCUUGUCUUUAACAUCACUUCUGCAUGGUUUUGGUUUAAUUUUAUGUUAGGAUUUUUGUUUUCAUAUAUGGAUGUAAUGUUUGAGUAUAAACAUUUUUUUUCUCUAAAAUUAACUUUUUUCCAUAAGUACAAGAGUGACCAACUUGUUAUAUUAUUGGUAAAAGGAAUCAAAAUCCAAAUUUUAUGUGACUUUUAUCUUUUAAUAUUUUAAUAAUAAAAAAAUAAAACAAAUCUAAUAUCUGUUGUUGUUUUUUUUUUUUUUUUUUCAUUUCAAGAAUUAAAGAUGUGGGAACUGGGAGGGUGAAAAAAAGAAAUAAAGAAAAGAAAGCCGCAUUCAUGUGUUUGUAGGUGUAGUAAUUUGACUUCAACAAUGUAUUUGCAACUUGCAUCCUCUACAACCAUUCACCAAAAAAAGAACAGAUAUUUUUCAUGCUUUUAGUUUUCUUUGAUCGCUGUCUUCCCCACUCAUUCAUAUAUUAUUACAUUAUGAUACAUGUAUAAUAUAAAUAAUAAAAAUUACGAAAUAAAUUUAUAAAAGGAAACAAUAUAAAAAUAAUCAUGAUGUCUUUAGUUUAAAUAAAAUUAUAUAUAAGGGUGGAUCCGGAAAUUGGCAAGGGCUUCGGCCUCUCUAAAAUAAAAAAAUUUCUAUUUAGACCCUUUAUAAUUUAUAAAAUUUUUAAUUAGUAAUGGUAAAUUUGUACUUUAUAUAAAUUGACGAGUAACACCAACUCAAUUGAAUAUAUAUAUACAAAAAUUCUAUUUUUUUUUCUCAUUCUCAAAUUAAGAACAAAUAAAUUAAGUUUUGUUUGCUGGACAAACAUUUAAUGAGAAAAAAAAAACUCUAAUCAGAACUGUUUAAUGGUUUGAGUGUCAUUAAAACUUAAUGCAAUUGCAUGCAGUAAUUAACAGAUAACAAAGAAACCUACAAAAACAUUUACAGAGCAGUCUUGAAAUCAUUUCUUCUUACAUUUGAUUGUGAAAGAUUUUACAUGGAGAAAGUGACACAUGUGUUCUUCUUAUAUAGACUACAAACCAUAUAUAUAUAGAGAGACAGAGGGGUUAGGGAAUUUGAAUUGAAUUCUUAAACUGAUAAAUGUAAACAAGUAAAAACAAAACCUUUGUUAUGGGUACUUGGAAUUAAAAUAGUUAGAAUAUUGUAUUUUAUUCAUUUAUCACUUUUAGUUUAGGUUUUCUCCACUUGAAGAUGGAUGACAUAAGAUAAAAGAUAAAUAUUGAUGGUGCAAUGUGUAUAAUGUCUGGGAAUGCUUCAGUUGGAGGAGUAAUCUAGGACAAGCAUUUCUAGGUUCUCUAAAUAUAUUAGUUGUUGUUUUGCGCUCAACGUCGAGUUUUGGGGAGCUUUGGAGAGGCUUCAAAUAGCUCGGAGUCUAGGCCUUCAACAGGCUGUGCUUGAGAUGGAUAGAAUGACAGUUGUCCAUUUGGUUCAAACAGUGUCAGGGAAGUUUCGCCAUUCAACUAUGUUACGCACUAUUAAAGAUCUCUUUCAGUGUUUUUGGGUAGUUCGAGUUACACAUGUCUUUAGAGAAGGUAGCCAAGUCGUUGAUGAUAUGGUAGCAAUGGUGUUUUCAAAACCUUAGGGCAGAUAUAUUUAUCUACAACCCCCGAAUGAAAUCUUUCAAAAGCUACAAGACAAUUGUGCUGAAGUGGUUUGGCCUCGAUUAAUUUAGUAUAAUCUUAUUUUUCGAUUAAUCUACAUGAAGUUGAACAAGAUUUUUGCUAAUUUCUUGCAAAUAAAAUUAUUAGGCUAUUUCUUUUCUUAUAAAUUGUUGGAUUGCUGAUUUUUAAAUAAAAAAUUUAAGUUGAAAUGCUCAACUAACAUAGUAAUACACCAACUAUUAUAUACAGAAGGUUUUUAUAUCAAUCUAUUACUUAAAAUACAUAAAAAUUGAGGAAUCAAUAAAAGUGGAAUAUUUGGAAUGAAGUGUUUAAAUUUGAGUCUCGUCCUGCAAAGAUUAUGUAUAAAUUAAUUAAUUAUCUUUAUUCAAUUCAAUAUUUAUGAUGAUUUAUUUUAAUUAAAACAAUUAAUUAUAAUUAAUUAGAUGAAAGACUUAAAUUAUACCAAAUAUUAUCCGCUGAACUUACCUCUAUCUUUCCAUGAAAACUGAUUUAACUUGAGUCACACUCUUUUAUCAUUAGAUGAACGACUUUAAUGGGUACAAUUAUGCUCCAAAUCUUGGAUUCUUUUGGCAGUAAUGUAUAAGUUGUUUGGUUGACAGAGUCAUAAAUUGAUAAAACUAAGCAUCGUUUUGCGUUCAUAACUAAGAUUAAGACUGUUGACCAAACUAUGCACUUCAUUUUAAAGGAAAAAAAAAAUCAUAAAUUAGCCCACCAAUAUAAAAAAAAAUCGAUUGAAUCUUAACUUGAUUGAUAAUGGUAUUAUUGUCAGUGUAAGAGAUUGUGAGUUUGAGUGUGUUAAAGCGUAUUAUCUUCUUAUUUAAGAGUUAAGAAGAAAUUAUAGUUAAUUUUAAACCUUAUAUAAUAAAAAUUUAUAUUAAAAUUAAUGUUUGAAAAAGUAAAACCCAUCAAAAUUAUGAAACUUUACAUUGAAGUGAAGUUAUUAUUUUCUCUCUAAAAGGGUGGGUGUGUGUGUGCACACAUCAUUAUAAUCAUCUCAAGAUGAAAAGAAAUUGAUGCAAUCUUUUUGUCAUCUACCAGGAGGGAAAAAAUUCAGUGGAUUAUUCAACCCUUUCUUUUUCCUUUUCAUUUUCUAGAAAAUAUAAAAGUAGCCUUUAGACCAUGUGUAUAUAUAUUAUUAUAUAUAUAUAUAUAUAUAUAGGGUAAUUGCAACAAAUAUUUUCAAAUUAUCAACCAAAAUUUAAAAUAUUUAUAUAAAAUAUUAAAAAUAUUAGUAUUGUAUUAACUGAAUCUUUUUGUAAGCCUAUUUGUCAAUAUAAGUGUUAAAAAUGCUAGUUUGGAUCUAAUGACUAUAUUUAUACGAUGUGGAUUAAAUUGUAAAACUUGUGCAUUUAUUUAUAACAUGGAUAGUUUUGAUUUGAUAUGUUGAAAAAAAUUCAUAUCAAAUAUAAAAAAAGAGUUGUUUUUUUUAACAUAUCAAAUCUAAGUUGUUCAGGGCAGAGCCAAGGGGGCUAACAGGAGGCCCGACCCCUAAAUUGAAAUUUUUUUUCAACACUUUCAUAAUUUAUAAAAUUUUAAAUUUAGUUAUGGUAAAAUUGCACUUUGCCCCUCAAAACUAAGAAAAAAAUGAUUUAAUCCUUUAAAAAUUAUAAAGAUAUAAAAUAUUAAAAUGAUGAUUUUACAUUUUUACUAUUAUAAAAAUAUACAACUUAAUUUUACCUCCUUCAAAAAUUAUAAAUACACACAUAUUUAUAAUUUAAUUCAUAUAUUUUAAAUAUACUUAACGUGAAAUUUGAAUUAACAUUUUAAAACUUAAUUAAAUUAAUUGUUAAAUUGAUAAAAUGAAGUAAUUAAUAUAAUUCUAACAUUUUAAAAAUUCAAUUAAAAUAUUUUAAAAUUGGAAAACCAAUUUAAAGUUUGAACACCAAAGCAAAUAUGUCAUGCCUUCCAUAAAGCCAACUUUUUUAUUACAAGAGCUUAACUUUUAUGAUGCAGGCCACAUGUGAACAGAACCCUAACUCAUAAAGUUUAGUUUAAAGUUUGUAAUAUCUUUUCCAUUAAUUAAAUAAUAUUAGAGCUUUUAUUUAUAUUAGAGAAUGAAAGCAAACCCUAUCUUUUAGUUGGAGUUAGUGAAGUAAAACUGGACAAUAUUCAGCAGUAAUCUUGACUGUAUGACCUGGACCUUGAAUUUGUAUUAAUUUACAAUUAAAUUAUUCAGCUGUAUAUAUAUUAUAAAUGAAGUAUGGUUCACAAGCAAUUGCCAAGUCAACUUUAAGAAAUUAAGUAAUGAAAGUUGAUGACUUUUCUAAUAAAUAGUGAUACAAUAUUAUAAUAAUAUUUGUUUUUUUUUAUUAAAAAAAUAUUUUUUUAAUAAUUUUAUUAUAGAUUAUGAUCAUAUUUGUUCUUUUUGACACAUAGUUUAGAAUUAUUCAUAGUCUCUUUCUAACUCAUAAAUAAGAUGGUGAUGUGCUUCAGUAUAUUCGAACUUACGUUCUUUUGUAUUGACAAUAAUAUUCAUAUUAAUCGAACUAAGACUGAAUCGACUUAUUGAAAAGAUAAUUAAAAGAAAGGGUGAAUUGUUUUAGAUAAAUUGGGCACUUUAGCCUAAGUAGUUUAGAAUCAGUCAAAAAUAUUUUUGAUUUCUUGAAAGAAUAAAGCAAUGGGUAAGAGGUUUCACAUUAGAAUUAGAAAAGCUUUGAAGUAAAUUAAGCUUUGGGAUGCUUUAGUGGGUUGGUCAGGCUCUUGUAAUUUUUAUUUGUUUAUUAAAAAAUAAAAAUAAUUUUAAAAGAUAAAAGUUUUUAAAAAAAUAAAAGAAUAAAAUUUUGAUCCCUUUGGAACUUAGUGGAGAGUAGAUGGAUAGUUGUAAUUGGUACAGGUUGACUUUUUGUUUUUUAUUUUUUCUGAUUUUUUUUAUGGCUAAUUAGGAGAAGUGUUUUGAGUGAGCUUAAGUUCAUUAAUUUUGGUUUAACAUAAAAUACACCAUGACUAACAACUCCUAUUAAUAUUAAUAUAUAUAUAUACAUAUAUAAAAAGUUUAUUUUUUUGGGAUAAAGUAAUAUUUAGUUUAUGAAUUUGAUUUUUUUUUAAGUUUUGAUUUUUUUUAUUUAUAUUAGUCUUAGAAAUUUGAUAGAUAUUUUCAAUUUGAUCCCUAAAUUUAGAUUUUGUUAAUAUACUAUGAUGUGGCAUUUUGAAAUUGUGCCAUAUCAUUACCUCAAAAUUUUUAAAAAAUAUUAUUGCUUUAUAAUAUUUUUAAUAUUUUUUUAUAGUUUAGAAUUUAUAUAAAAUUUUUAGGUGAUGAUAUGUCACAAUUUUAGAGUACCACAUUAUCAUACUUUUAACAGAACCCAAGUUUAGGGAUCAAUUUGAGAAAAAAUUAUCAAAUACCGAGACUAAUAUGGACAAAAAUUUCAAGGGCUAAAUUUAAAUUUUUUCCAAAUUUAAAAACUAAUUGUUAGUUUAUCCUUAUUUUUUUAUUAAAUUCACCAAAUUCUUACAUAAAAUGGUGAAAGUACCAUAGAAGCCUCCAUACUAAGAGUAAGAUUGAAUUUUGCCCGUUUUACUUUAAAAAAUGGAUAAAUUAUCCCUUAUACAUUAAAUCAAAAAACAAACUGAUCAUUUCUAUUAAAAAAUUCAUCCAUUUUUAUUGUUAAAAAUUAGCGUGGCUGACAAAAUAACCAAACAAUUUUACGUGGCAUGCUAUAUGUACCUCAUGAUAAUAUACAGGAACUAAUUUUUAACAAUUAAAAUGGAUUAAAUUUUUAACAGAAUGACCAAUUUACAUUUUAGUUAACAUUCAAAUAUCAAUUUAUCUAUUUUUUAAAUAAAAAAACAAAAUACAGUCCGUUUCCUAAUAAAAAAACUUUUGUAGUAUAUUUACCUAUAUAAAAUAUAUAACAUAAUAUUUUAUUAUAGUUAUAUUUUAAGAAGUCUAUCAUUAAUACAUAGAUUCAUCAUAGAUCCAAUUAUUGUUUGGAAUUCAAUGACCUCAUGUUCUCUCUUCAAAUCGCAUCUCAUUCCUUCCUACACUUAUCUAUCUAUAUACUCAAGUUCGCAAUUUAAGAUAUAUUUAAAUAAUUUGAUUGACAUCAAUAUUGUUGUCAGUAUAGGAGGUCGUGAGUUUGAGUGCGUUGAAGUGGAUUAUCUUCCUAUUUAAGAGUUGGGGAGGGGUUGUGGGUAAUUCUAGGCAUUGUAUAAAAUGAACAAAUAUGAUAAGAAUCUAUAAUAUGUAUAUAUGCCAAUUGAGUCUUAGUUUGAUUGACAUUGACAUUGUUGCUAGUGUCAGAGGAUGUGGGUUCGAGUGCGUUGAAGCACAUUAUUCUCCCAUUUAAGGGUUGGGGAGGGGCUAUGGAUAGUUUUAGGCAUUGUAUAAAAAAAGAGUAGAUAUGUUGGGGAUAAACCCAAAUUCAACAACAAACAAGAAUGAGAGUUAUUAGAGUAUAAGAGUAUAAGAUGGAGAAAAAAUCUAAAAAUAACCCUCAAAUCUAGAAAAAUACAAAGCUCUCUGGCUAAAACACAAAAUUACCUUAAACUCUUUUCUUGUUGUGUUGUUAAAUCUUAAUCUCUAGGUUUGCUGGUUUGCUAAGAAAUUCGUGAGCUAAUAUUAUUAAAAUAUCUCUAGAGUUAUUAGAGUUCGAUUGAAAAAAAAAAUCAGAGUUUAACUAAGAGAAAAAAUAUCAGAGUUUGAUUGGAACACAUCGCCACAUCGUGACGUUAUUUAUCUACUCAACGGGACGUCACAUGUCGCGUCAUUAGGACGUCGGUUUUUUCUCGUAGAAACAUCGUGUGUCGUGUCAUGUCGUCGACACAUUGACUCUUCCAUGUCAUGAUGUUAACUCUGUUUCAUCCAAAAUAUGAGACACACUCCACAAGAUAUAAUAAUAACUUAUAUUGAGAUUAAUGUUUAAAGAAAAAAUAUAUUUAUAUAUAUAAUAAAAUUAUUAAUUAUGAAACAUCAAAGUUAGCAAGCUGCGUUUUUACCAUUAAAUAAAACCAUCAUCAAUGCCUAAAUAUAUAUAAACUUUAUAAAAAUACUUGUGCUAAUAGUUAAUAUCAACUUAUACUCCCUACUCCCAUUAAACCUUUGAAUUUUUUUUUUAAAGUCUAUUCAUAGAAAAAUCAAAUCUAAUUAAUUCUUUAAACGUUAAAAUUGUAUCAAAAGAAUUAUUAAACUAAUGAUUUUUAUUGUUGAUCUUAACAUAAUUGUUAAAAACAGUGUUGUUUAAAUUGAACUAGAUUGAUCGAUUGGACCAAGUGGACUAAAAAUCAAUCAAGAUAUCGAUCCAAAGAGAGGUGUAAAAUUAAUUGAUUUAUAAACUAAUAUGAAAAUAUUAAACUGGUAAUUGAAGUGCCUGACAGAUGAACAUGCUAUUAGAAGACUAUUCCACAAAUUACAAAUAUAUGUAAUGUAGCGAUAAAUGCACAUUUAUCCUAUGAAUGUCGACCAACAAACUCACAAAUAAAAUAAGAAAAAGAAAAGAUUUGACUGAAAUUGAAUUAAUUAAUUAAACCAAAACAACCUAUUAGAAGACAACUAUCCACAAAUUACGGCAUGGCAUUUACAUUUUACAUGCUACAAAUAAUGUUCUAACCUACCUUUUCAAACCUUUUUUUAAUUUUAACUAGUAUAAUUUCCCCACCUUCUCCCGGGGAAUUCCUUUUUAUAAUUUUUUUUCUUAAUAAUUAAUAUCAAUAAUUAAAUAUUAAUAAUCACUUAUACUAAAUAAAUUAAAUUGAAAACUAUAUUUUUCUAUAUAAAUAUCAAACUUUUUAUUAAAUCAAUACAAGAGAUUGUAUAAAACUGUGAUUCCACGUCAUCCAUACACCUUUUCAAGAGGAGAAAAACAAAUAAGAUUUUUCCUCUUGAUUAUUAGCUUUUUUCUCCUAAAAAAAUUCAAAUCAAACUAAAAAUGCUAAAAAUCAGGAGAAAAAAUCUAAUUUGUUAUUCUCUUAUUAGAAAGAGAUAAGGAUGACGUGGAAUCACAGUUUCAUACAAUUCUUUCUCUGAAAUCAAAGGACAAAUGAUUGUAUUGAGAAUAGAUUGUUUUAGAUCCAAUUAUGCUUAUGGUAUUUCGACUAUGUUUUAAAUUUAGAAAUAUCUAUUCUUUAGUUUGAUAUAUUUUGGUUCAUCUACAUAAUAUCAUUAGUUUGUCAAAAUAGUUGAUAUCAUUAAUUAUUCUAAUCCAAUUGUUGAGGUCAAUUUUUUUCUUUUAAAAAAUACCCAUUCCAACUUCAUCCAUAUAUAUAUAUAUAUAGUGUUAGAAAGUUGCUUUUAAGAGAAAUUCAAGAAAUCAUUUUAAUCUAUAAAGUUAACCAUUGGACUAACUGAUGUCAUUAUAAAAGUAGAUGAACAAAUUAUGUCAAAUUAAAAUAUAAAAACUAAAUCCCAAAUGUGAGUACAACAGAGAGAUCGAAACUGCAAUUCUACCAUUAUCUUAUAACUUUGAAAAAAAAAGUGAUGCCAUUAGUUAGUCCAAGUAAUUAGCACCCUCAAUAUUUUUGAUAGAUGACGUAAUUAUUUUUUAAUAAAGUAUUUAUUUCAACUCAUUACACCGCCAAAAUAUUUUUUUGAUAAAAUAAUUUUUUUUAAAAAAUUAAUAAGAAUAACUAAAAAGGUUAACUAUUUAAAUUAACUAACGUGGUUGUAGAAAUAGAAAAUUAAAUUAUGUGAAAGUAAAAUGUAAAAAUUAAAUAUGAAAUGUAAGCAUAGGGGAUGAAAACUGAAAUUUUACUAUUUUAAUUAUAAUGAAAAAAAAAGAAGGUAAAGGUAGAAAUCUCAAAUUAAAUUUUAAAGACUAAAUGUAUAGAAUUUAAUUGUAAUUAAUUAGCUUUUGCUUAGGAAUAAAACAAAGCUUUGGCAUUCAAUUUCAUUUUGAAUCUUUCACGUGGUUGACUAAAAUCGUAAACUCGAACUUACUUUCAAUUUUAUAAUAUAUAUUUUGUUAAUUACAACAUUUUUUCUAUUUUUAAACUAUUAGAGAAUAAAUUUUAAUAAACUAUUUAAUUGAUAUUAGUUUGAUCUCCGAUUGGGGUUUAAUGCAGUUUAAAUUACAAUUAUAGAGAAAAUAAAUUUUAUUUCAAUUUAACUAUGUAAAUUUUUAAUAUUUUAGUGUUUUAAUUUCUUUUAAAAAAAUUAAAUUAAAUUUAUUUAUUUUUAUUCUUCUUAUCUGUUUUAUGGUCUAUGUUUAGAGUUCGUAACUGCUCUUCCUCUCAACAAUAUUGUCUUUAAGGAUCGAACUUGUAUUUUCUCAUUGAGCAUUUUAAUAUAUAUAAUGUUUUUCGAUUGUUUAAAUUAAAUCAAUUUCAGAUAAGGUCAAUUUUGAGUUUUAAAGUUUCUUGGUCAUUUUGAAUAAAAUCAAUUUCAAAGGUCCCUUCAGGUUCAAGGGUUCAAGUUUGAGACUCUAUUUUUUAGAGUCGAACCAUUACCUAUUCAGGUUCGCUCAUUUUAGGUUACUUAUUUAAGUCAUUUCAAGUCUAGGUCAAAUUUUAUUUGAGUCAUUUCAAAUUCAGAUCAAUUUAAUUUUGAAUAUGAUGAGUUCGAGUUAUUUCAAAUUUGAAUAAACUUUCAUUCAAACCAUUUCAAUUUUGAAUUGAAUUAGUUCGAGUUAUUAACUUUCCAUAAUCAAAUCAAGUUAAAAUUGUAUAUAAAUUCACAUUGAUCGAGCCAAAAUUUUAAGUACAGAUUGAUAUUGAGUUUUCAAGUUUGAGUUCAGUUGAGUAAAAGUUCUCUAAAAAUCCUUAUACCAAAAAUCAGACUAUAUUUUGUCAUCUCUACUAAAAAAAUGACAAAUUAAUUAUUCUACAAUAGAUAAAAAAGUAAACUGGUUAUUUUAUUAAAAUUUCAUCAAUUUUACUGUUAAAAAUUGAUUCUAUAUAUCAUAAUGAGUUAUACAAUUAUUACAUCAAUUUUUAACAUUAAAAAUAGAUAAAAAUUUUAAUUAAAAUUAUCGAUUUAGUCUUUAAUCUAUCUUAUAAAACUCAUUUAUUUAUUUUUUAAAUAAAAAAUAUAAUUUAAUUUUUAAUACACAAACUUCAAUAAUACUUUUACUUACGUACAUUGUUUGUAGAAUAUUUGUUAGGAGAACAAAGGCCUAAAACGGAAAGCAAAGGGGAAAAAAGAGGGAAAAGGUCGGUGACGUGGGGAAGGCAUCAGCAGCAGCAAAGGGUCACUCCCACGUGCCGCGUGGAGUGUGUCGGCUACGGUCAAAUGCCGGUACCAAUAAUGCCACAUGUAUGCCUAAUAUUCCAAAACACUAUUAAUUGUUCUUCCAGUUUGAAUGUUUGACUACCUUUUUGUUUUUUUGGUCUUAUCUCACGGCCUCUUUCAUCUGCUUCAUCCUCCUCCGAUAUUACUUGUUUCUGCUUCCACACGCUCCCUUCUAGCGCGUUUGUCCCCUUUAAUAUUGUCAUUAACAAGAGUUUAUUUUUUCAACUAAAAUUAUUUUUUACACAAAAAUCCAAACUACAUUGUGUUAAGUACAUCUAAACAAAAUUACAAACAUAAUCAAAUAAAAUAUAAAUAUUUUAAUUAACUUUAAUUUAAUUUUUUUAAAAAUAUCCACUAGUUUUAUAAAUUAUUGUAGUUUUUUUCUUUUAAUUAAUUUUCUUUACGGACUAUAUAUAAAUAUGUGUCAAUUUUUGGUCGUACAUAACAGUAGUACGAAUUAUAUCUAAUAUAUUUUUAAAAAAUAUUUUUUUUUCUUAAUAUAAAUGUAAAGAGAGACAAAAAGUAAAAAAUUGUUAUUAUAUUGGGUAGUAAAUGUUUCCAUACUAGAAGCCACUUUUUGCUCUUCCAAUUGGAAGGGUUUUUUUUUUUUUUUGUCAACCCUCCUUUAUAAAGUGACUAUGAAGCCAAAGUACCAUUCAAAGCUAAACACUCUUCCUAUAUAUCAUUUAUAUAUACACAUAUUUCUGUAUAUAUAGCUCAAAGAACAUGAAAUCAGAUAUGUAAUGAAACCCUGAAAGUAUUACAAAAACCAAACACUUUGAGGCCCUUUGUUUUUCACUUUCCUUUGUUCCUAAAAUUGUUGUUUCACCAUGUCGGAACAUGAAUUUAGAGAGUUUUAUUACCAUGCAAGUACGAUGUUCCACAACGAUCAUGUUGACGACAUGUUUAGGGUUUCGUCAUCAGCGUCGGUUGAUCAUCAUCCUUCUUCGUAUAUGAGCUUCACGGAUUGUUUACACAGUUCGGUUGACGAGUACGGUUCACUCGAAAAAGCCUUCGGUUUGUCGCCGUCAUCUUCGGAAGUGUUUUCUUCUCCAAUCGAAGGCUUGAAUCAGACAACAAAUCAACAAAGUAGUGAAGUUAUGGCCAUUACCCCUAAUUCUUCUAUUUCUUCUUCCUCAAGUGAGGCUGCUUAUUGUGAAGAAGAUUCAGAGAAAAAUAACAAAGAUAAGCAGCCAAAAGGGUCUGAUGAUGGAAGCAAAGAAAGCCCUAAGAAAGGGUAACUAACUAACCCUUUCUCCAUUUAUUUUUAGAAUUUACAGACAGCAUCAAUGGAGUUUAACUGAUGUUGUGUUUAUUUGUUGUGUCUGAAAGGAUGAAAGGGGCUAAAAAGAAAGACGAAAGAAAGCAAAAAGAACCACGAUUUGCUUUCGUGACAAAAAGUGAAGUUGAUCAUCUAGAAGAUGGGUAUAGAUGGAGAAAAUAUGGACAAAAAGCUGUGAAGAACAGUCCAUAUCCAAGGUUUGGUUUCUUUCUCUUUCUUUAAUUUCACAACCAAAAACAAACAUUGAAACAAAUCUUAGCAAAUCACGUCUGAAAGUGAAACCUGUUUGAAGUCUUUGGUCUGUAAUUGCAUUAUCUUUUCGCCCCCUUCUUUGACUAUAUGCCAAGAUGCAGUCAACAUAUAUGAAACUUUAGCUGUAAGUCAUUAGUAACUUGAUGGAUUUGAAUUAUUGAAUUAAUUCCCUGUAUAUGUGACUUGCAGGAGCUACUAUCGGUGCACUACACAGAAGUGUACAGUCAAGAAAAGGGUUGAGAGAUCAUUCCAGGAUCCAUCAACGGUGAUCACAACAUAUGAGGGUCAACACAACCACCCACUCCCCACAACACUGAGAGGAAACGCAGCAGCACUGUUCCCGCCUUCCAUGUUUGCGCCGGCGACGCCGCGGCCGAGCUUCCCGCAUGAAUUGUUUAUGCAGAUGGCGGCGCCUCAUCAAAUGAAUAACCAGCAAGCUAAUGGUGUAGCAGCAGCUUCGAUGUUUGGAGAAAACUUUAGUCCUUAUCAUCACCAGUACCACCACCACCACCGUCAGGUUUCUGACUAUGGGCUACUCCAAGACAUGGUUCCUACCAGGUUCCUUAAACAUGAACCAUGAAUAUCCCAUUCUUUCCGCUUCUUUUUUUACUCCUUGUGAGUGUACAUAUUUAUAUAUAUUUAACUGCUUUUAUCGUUAUCGUUUUCAUCUAACUUAUCUAGAGCCCAAGAAUUAUUCCUCAGUUAUUGGUUUUGAAAAGGGCUAACAUCGAGGACUAGAUAUGGGAGUGGGAUUAAAGUUCUUCCUUUGUACUUGAAACUGGUGGUUCCAUGUGUUCAGUGGAAAUGUUCGUAUGCUUCUAUGAUAGGAAAAGAGGAUCGAAGACUUGUAAUAUUAAUGGAUCAUAUUAGUUACAUUUAUGUUUGUUUAUUCAUAUCAUCAUCCUUGAUGUUAUCAUUAAUGAAGAAUGGGGGAAUAGUUUCCUUUAGUUUUUUUGACAAAUUUUGUACAACAAUGAUAUUAAUGUUUUAAAUAAUAUUCUUUUAAAACAAUUAUUAGCUACUUAAAAAUCAAUAGUAGAAUAUAUCAAAUAUAUUCUAUAAUCAUCACAAUAAAUUUUGGGUAGUAUCUAGUUUUAGUGACAUAAAGGAGGAGGAGGAUACAAAGGUUGAUAAACAUUAAGGAAAAGUAAAGCGUAGCUACUGCAGCAAAGGAAAUUCGUAGCCUGUAAUAUGAACAACGUGAAAUGGUGAAUGGAGAAUCAAAUAACACGUUUAAAACGAAGAUUAGGAUUAACAAAGUUUUUACGUGGAUGGGUUAGAAUUAUAAUACCAGAGCCACUAAAGUAGCAGUCAGGGUCGACAUGACGAUCAUAGAUUUGGUAGUACGAAUUCAUGACUGUUGAUCUUCUCUCCUGUACUCAUUAUUUGGUAGCAAUCCGUCCAUAUUUAUGAGGCAUGGUUUUUGAUGUAAAGUGAUAAGGGGUAACUAAGUGCCAUGCAUAACGAUACAUUACUCCCUUAAACUCCCUUAAACUCGACACGUAUUCUUAAAGUUAUCAUUACUGAAAUCCCCUGAACUAACAAAGUGGACAGCUAACAUUAUGGAUUUCAGGUUUUUGAAGUAUUAUAUAACAAUUUGUCCUCUACUUUAUUAAAAAAAGAAAAAAAAGAGAGUUAUAAUGUGACUUUUUGGAGAUAGAUUUAUAUACCUUAAUAGUGUAAUUGAGGGCUUUCAAUAAGGCAAGCUGCACAGCAAAAAUUUAACGACCUGAACCGCAAAAAUACUUCACAAACCCGAAAUCUGGAAUGCUAGCUCGCCACACGCUAGCUCACCACCUCUAGCUCACCACCUCUGCUAGCUCGGGGGAUCGCAACAGGAAUAACCCUAAAGAUACAUAUCGAACUUAAGGGGGUAAAGUGUUGCUAUGCAUGACAUCUAAUUGUCGCCUAACACGUCAAAUCAGGAAAUCGGGCCUUAUAAAUGUGGAAGGAUUGCACCAAAGGAAGGGACAGGCGAGAGCAUAAUGGUUGAUGAGAGUAUCAUGCUCCAUAUAAUGGUUGCAGUUGAAUCCCAAGGUUCUAACGCGAUCACAGGCAUAGUUAAUGGUGGAGGCCAGUAAUAUAGUAGGGGGAGCCUCACAUCUCAUCUAUAUAAACUUCCACUUAUAUCACUAAGAAUACUCCAAGACCCUAUUUUAUACACCGAUACUAUUCCAAACCUUCUUUUUCUCUUCUAAACUUCCUCAUUUUUCCAGAAACACAUCAUGUAAGCCGUUUCCAUUUUUCAACCUCACAUGUUGGUAAACUUUCUUUUUCUUUUUCUAUCUAUUUGAUACAAGUAAUCUUAAACAUGAUUGUGAUAAAUUUUGAUACAUUUUAAUACAUUUUGAGAUAAUUUUGAUGAUAUUUACUAGUUUUGAUAACUUUUAAAAUAUUUGUUAAUGUUGUUUGUAAUAAGUUUCACGUAGUAUAUAUAAUUUUUGUAUUUUUUUUAAAUUACAAUUUAUAAUUAAAUGAUGAAUUAAUGUAAGUAUUUAACAGAAUAAUUAAUUCAACUUAAAAUAAUUAAAUUGCUCAUACAUAAUUUACUUAGGUGGGACUUGAACAUAUGUGCUUAAAGUUUCAAGACCUCGAAUCUUAGCAUUAGCUUUAAUGGUUAAAAGUGUUCACCCCAUUCUCUAAACGCAAAACAAAUCUAUGAGCAUAACUUGUGCGAUAAUUUAAUAAUAUGCGCGUGAAAAUGUGAAUUAUACUCUUUUUUUAUCAUCUCGAUCAAAACUUUCAUUGAUAAUUUUAUCUCUUAAACGAAAAUUUUGACAAUUUUUCUUAAUAAAUUUGAAUAAUAUUGUACACUAUUUUAAUAAUUUUGUAUAUAAUUUGACAACAUUGUUGCAUCAAAACACCAAAUAAAACAUGUUUCAGUUUUUUAUGAUUUAAAUAAUUUUUUUUCUCAAUCCACAAACAAGCACUAUAAAGCAAAAAUUAGUAAAAAUUAUAUUUUAUUCUAUCAUAUAAAUAUCAUAUAUGAUAAAAACAUAACUGUAUUCAUCAUAUAUAAGCACACAAAGCACCUACUACAGAAAUCAAUCUCCUAAAUGUAAAUAAAAUGUUGACACAUUUAUUACACGCUAAACCCAAAAACCUUCACACAUGUAGAACAUCUAUUCCAUUUCAGACCCUUCAUGGAUACUGGCAGUUUCCAUAGCCUGUAAAAGGAAAAAAAAAAUACAAUUACAAACAAUGUCAAAUGAUAAAUGGAGUAUCAAAAUAAAAUUAGGUUCAAGAAAAGUUUUACUUGGAUCGGAUAUAGUGAUGAGACCAGAACCCUGGAAGUUACAGUUAUGUUCUUGACGACCAUUGGCCUGGUAAUAAGAAUUCAUGACAGACGAUGCAUGGUUGAUAUAAGUGUUGGGAUCAUAGCAUUCUCCACCUGGUUGUAUCUGGCUGCAAUUGAAUCCAAGGAUUCCAAGUUGUUCACAGGCAUAGUUUAUGUUGGAAACCAGUGCUUUAUCAUCAGUGGAAGGCUUUGCAACACACCAUUUUUUGACCUGUUACAUAACAAUUUCAUUACAAAAACUUGUGUAUUUUUCUAAUGAAAAAAGAAUUGACUAAUUUACCUGUCCAUUGGCCAACUUCAGCAAGAUCCCUGCAUGAAAAUGGUUGUUAAUUAUGAUUAAUGGGGAAGCCAUUAGAAACAGUGAGAAAAUGGGGAAAAAGAUACAUACCAGAGUUAAAUGACAAAAGGAGGAGAAAAUAGAGAAGGGGAAGUGAGACAGGUGAUUUAACCAUUGCUGUUUGUGUUGGAAGUAAAAAUUGAUUAAAAAGAUAACUUGGACAAAAAGAAACGAAGAUGAAUGUCCAAAUAUAUAACGGUGGAUAAUGCUAAUUCCAGAUAAUUUGCUGCUUCCACGAUAUGAAAGACUAAAACAUUCCUAGCACUAGCAAAGGUUUGUAAAUGUCUUAAAUGGGACAGUUUAACAGAGAAGUUGUAAGGCCAAAAGAUGAAACAGCAUAGGGUUUUUUAGUAAAUGACUUUGUGAAUUUGUCAUAAAAAGGUUGUUUUUAAGUAAUGAUUAUUGAAAAUGCAAGUUUCAAACCCCAAAAUUAAUGAUAUAUUAAUCAUAAAAUGUAGGUUUCAAACCCCAAAAUUAAUUUCAGAGUUAUGAUACAUUAAUCAUCUAUAAUCCAGAAACAUAAAAACCGAGGAGCUGAACAGGUUUAGGACAUGGUGAAAUGAUAAGGGAGUAAAAUGUCUGAAUCAAAUAUUGUCUCUGCUGCCAUAUUCCAUCUAAUUGAACAUGUUAAAUAUUUAGAAGAAAAUCAGAAUUAAGUAAAAUUUUUGGAUUAGUGUUUUAAUACUAAAGACUAGAUUAAUUUUUUGGAGGAACAAAAACUGUGACAUGUUAAUGUUUUUCACUUAUACCAGGUUGUCUUUAAAUCAACAAUAUGAUCAUGGUUAAGUUGAAAUAUUCAAGUUUUGGAAACUCUUUUUAGGAGAAGCUAUUUUUGUUUGAUUAUGCUAUAACUGCCAGACAGGACUUAAUUUGUUUGUUUUUCUAUUUUUCUAUUAAUGGUUAAGGAAAAGGUCUUUUUGGUCAUAUUUUGUAUAUUUUCCAUUUAAUUUCUUGCUUGAUGAUUAAGGAAGUACAAGAACGGCGUUAUAAUGCAUGAGGACGUCUGUUGGUAAGCGUCGGGUGAGAUUAAAUUUAUAUAUAUAUAUACAUAUUAACGUAUUUUAUAUAUUUGUUUCAACAAAAUAAGAAUUUUAUUUAUGUUUAUCAAUAUUUGUAAAUGAAAUUCAUUUUAAAUUUACUCAUAUUUUUUAAAAAUAAAUUAUAUUAUUUUUAAUUUUAUAUUUAAUUAUUUUAUAUUUUUUAUUGAAAUUUUAAAUUAAGAUAACUUAAUAUAUUUUUAAUGUUUAUAUUAUAAAAAUUAUAACAUUAUAUACAUAAUUUGUAAAAAUAAAACAAAUAUAUUUCAAAAGUACAUACUAAUUCGGGUUUAGGCUGAAUCUUGUCACAAACUUGACCCAUAUCUUAAACGUGCAUAAUUUUUAAUCCAAUUCCAUUUAUGAGAUCACUUAUUUUUGUCCAAACCUCUUAUAUUUCUAGUAGACUUUCAGACUUGAAUGAAUAGUUUAGCCCUUGAAUAAGAUGCACGGUGGUAUCUUAUAUAAACAUUAUAGAUUUCUUCAAUAAUUUAAUUAAAUUGGUACUCGUGAAAGCAAAAACAAGAAUGUAAAUAUACGAGAAAUAUAAUGAUGCGAGGGACACCCAAAUCCUACUCGUCACAUAUAAAUAAUGAAAAUAUGAAUUAAGGAUUUACAAAAUGGUACACGUUAAUAAAUAGGAAUUACAAUAUAACGAGACAAGAUAAAAGAUUGUUUGGUCCAACUUUGUUUCAUUUCUUGCAUAUAUAUAAUAUAAAUAUAUAAUAUAUUAAUGUGUAUGAUUUUAGAAUAUAUAAUUUAUAUAUAGAUAAAAAAAACAGUUAUUUUGAAAUUCCAUUAAAGCCCAAAAAAACCCUAUACAACUAUCCAUCUCCACUGUACACAAUAAGAAAGUUUAAAGUGAGGGAUAACAUCCCAGUUGAGAUAAAAGCAGAUGGGAUACAUUGAUAUAGACAGGUUCUGUUGAGAUAUACACCUUGCAACUAUACCAUUACAAGUAAAUUUUAACAUUGCUUCAAGUAUACCAUAUUCCAUCUUCUUUAUUGAAGCAAGCUGUUCUGAACAAGACAUCAACUAUUAUUGGUGGCAUAAAAUACCACCGACCACCAACAAAACUAUGUCCUGCCUUGUAUUUCCACUUGAAAACUUCAUGUUUCUUUCUUCACCAAUAAAUGAAGCUCAAUGCUUCCUGCUCUAAAAAUAGAGGGAUUUUGUCGAUUGAGUCUCAGUUUAAUUAACAUGAGCAUUGUUAUCAAUGUAGGAGGACAUGAGUUUGAGUGAUUUGAAGCGCGUUAUCUUCUUAUUUAUGGGUUAGAGAGGAGCUAUCGGUAGUUCUAGAUAUUGUGUAAAAAAUAACAGAUAUGAUCAGAACCUAUAAUGAGAUUAUUCAAAAAAUAAUAAUAGAAAGAUUUCAUAAACUUGGUUGAGUUGGAUGUAUGGUUAUUUUGAUUUGAAAAUUUUGAUUAAGGCUAUAUAUAUUUGUAAAUGAUUAAUCCUAAGUUUAUUUAGGGUUUCUCAUAUUUUUAUUUUUAUUCUUUUAAAAUAUAAUUAUUUUUAAUUAAUAUAUAGUAAUUAUUUACUUUUUACUACCAUUAUAUAUAUUGUAUUUUAUUAAAAUUUUUAACAUAAAUUACUUAACAUAUUUUUAAAUAUUUUUAUUUAAUCUCAUAUGAUAUAAAUUCCGUAAUAUAUAAAGGAAAAACAUAUUCUAAAUUUGAAAAUGGGUAGCUUGGGUUUUGAAUAUUGAAACCCGAUCCCGGCUCGUAUUAUAAACAAACCUAAUUUUUUUACACAAACUCUCUCAAAAUUUCAAGGUUCGAGUUGGGUGGAUAGUUCAAUACUUGAACAUAUCUACUACAAAAUGUGGGUCAUGGUUCUUUUAAAUUAGGUUAAAUUUUGCUACUGAUCUUUAUGUUAUGUGUAAGUUGUAGAUUUAGUCUUUGCACUUUAAUUUUGUUAUUUUUCUAGUCCUUACCAGCCUAACCAAAUAGUAGUUGUUAGAUUUUUUUAAGUGUAAAAAUAUUAUCACAUGUGAAAUGUCAUAACAGUUUUUUGUUUUUACAUAUUACUCACAAAAAAUCAACUAAUAAAUUUAAUAAUUAUUAUUUGUGUCAAAAUUAAAAUUUUAAAAUUUAAAAAGAAUUGCCAUUGUUUAAUUCAGAACAAAUUUUAAAAUUAAAAAAAAAAAACUAAAAUUCAUUUAGGUUCGGUUAACUCAUUUUGGCGACAAAUUCAUUUCAGUUUAUUUAAUUCUAGUGACUUAUUUGGUUUAGUAGAUUAUUCAUUAUAUAAAAAUCAAAUCGAUUAAACUAAUCAGAUAUACAUCUUUAAUGGUCAUUGAGAUGUUAACUAACGACGUUCACCAUUACUCCGACAUAAUUAAAAUACAUUAAAUAUAUUUCAUAUAUAAAAUGAGCUUUAUUUUUAUUAUCCAUAUCAAAGUUCUUUUUAUUAAAUUAUUUUAAGUAAUACUUUUUUUAUUGGUAAUAUUUUUAGAAUUAGACCAAUAGUUAGAUCUGUUCGAUCACUAAUUUACUGGUUUGAUUAAUUUAAUAAAUAAAUUCAUAAAAAAUUAAAAAUAAAAUACUUCUUUUAAUCAAUUUUUUAGUCGAUCAAUCAAUUCAUAAUUCAACUGGUCGACUAUCAUUCUCUAAAUUAAUACUUUGAUUGAUUCUCAAUUUAACCAAUAUAUAUAUAUUAAUUUGAAACUGUUGGUGUUGGAUAGUAAAGUAGCAUUGGCUAUAGCAAUGGUGUCAAAAGGGGGCACUUAGGAUUCGAGGGUGUCGAACCAUAACUGUGACUGGUCAGAAAUUGCCUGUGACCCUUUCCAUGACUCAAUGAGGUCAUUCCAUCAAUUCAAACCUCGAAAUCAUUAUAGUUAUCUGAGGCUAUCUAUAUCUGAAUUUCUAUUGGUUCAAAACAUUAUGGAACUUUGAUUUCUAACGUCUACUUGGCACAUGCAACACCACGUAUCAGUGUUGGAUAAUUUUGGGGGUUGAACGGUGAAUUUUGUAUUCAAAAAAAAAUCUCCAGUGCUGUUUGUUGAACCAAUGAGAUUGUGCCACUCGUGAAUCACAUCGGAUAACCCCUAUCAUAUCUACUUGGAACAGUCGCAACUACCUGUUUCAAAUUCAGGACCACUUUGGCUUUGCGUUUCAUUGCAUGGGUCUGAAAUUCUUGUUACGAGAAAAAGCUGUGUAAUAAAUAAUGUUAAUGUUUAUGGAAAGGAUUAUGUUUAUGUUUCAUCUUGUUUCUUGAUGAAGCCUAAUGAAUCAUAUAGUUUUCGACACUGAUAAUUAGACUACUCGUGGGUAUUUUUAGAAACUAUUAAGUCAAUUACAUAAUUAAAUUUUUGGGUUUUUAAAAAUAAAUUUCAAGUUUUCUUUAUAAGGGUUAAAAGGACGAGACUUGGUAUAAACUAGACCAACACCACUGACUAGUUGACAUCAAUUUAAAGUAUUUUGAUAGUGCCGCAAAACAAAUUAAGCCAGAUUUUUAUUCGUAAGAUAUUUUACAUUUAUGUAUUAUCAACCACUCAAAUCCUGUAAUUUGUAUUUUUAUGCUGCCAUGAUUUCAGCAUCAAUAAACUUCACCAAAAGAAAGGAAAAUCUAUUUCAUAUGGCUCAAAGAAACUUCUUUCUAUGAAAACUCCAUCUAUUUUUCCAUGAAAAUGAAAAGGAAGGGAGAGAGAAAAUCAACAUCAAGGGAGUUGUUUAAUUUAUCAAGUAAUAUUUGUGUGUAUUAAUUAUAAUCACGAAAAUAUUGAUUGAAUCACAAGUGAAGAUUUUAUAUUUAAUUUAUAAUUGACAAAAUUUUAAACUUUAUUUUUGAAUUAUUUUUCAUACAAAACAAUCCAUUUAACUGUUGUAGCAUUGCUUCAUUGUUCUAAACAAAACAAACAAAAAGGUUUCGAAAUUUUUCAACAGUCGAAUUUCCGUCACUAUGGUGGCCAAGCCUAUGAUCCUUAAAAAAUAUUGGUAGCCUGUUAAGUGAAAUUUUGUGGAUUAAAGAUUGCCAAGUGGACAUGCAUGGCCAACAUCAAAAUCUUGGAAGCUCCAAUGAAAUGAAAGAUAGAGAUAUUACGUAGAUAAGGAACCUUACUCUCACCUUCCUAUAUAAUAAACGCAUCGGAUUGCCCCUUCAAUCACUCACCCAUCACCAACAAAAUCAACUGCUUCACAAUGGCCUCUACAACCAUGGCUCUUUCUUCCCCAUCAUUCGCCGGUAAGGCAGUGAAGUUCUCCCCUUCCACCCCUGAAAUCCAGGGAACUGGCCGUGUUUCCAUGAGGAAAACCACCAAGCCUGUUCCUUCUGGUAGCCCAUGGUACGGUCCUGACCGAGUUUUGUACUUGGGUCCACUUUCCGGUGAGCCACCAUCUUACUUGACCGGUGAGUUCCCUGGUGACUAUGGUUGGGACACUGCUGGACUCUCAGCUGAUCCCGAGACCUUUGCUAGGAACCGUGAGCUCGAAGUCAUUCACUGCAGAUGGGCCAUGUUGGGAGCUCUUGGGUGUGUUUUCCCUGAGCUGUUGGCUAGGAACGGUGUCAAGUUCGGUGAAGCUGUAUGGUUCAAGGCCGGGUCUCAAAUCUUCAGUGAGGGUGGACUUGACUACUUGGGUAACCCAAGCUUGAUCCAUGCUCAAAGCAUUUUGGCCAUCUGGGCUUGCCAAGUUAUCUUGAUGGGAGCCGUCGAGGGCUACCGUAUUGCCGGUGGACCACUCGGUGAAGUGACUGACCCAUUGUACCCAGGUGGCAGCUUUGACCCAUUGGGUCUUGCUGAUGACCCAGAGGCAUUCGCUGAGCUCAAGGUGAAAGAGAUCAAGAACGGUAGGUUGGCUAUGUUCUCAAUGUUCGGGUUCUUCGUUCAGGCCAUCGUGACCGGAAAGGGACCAUUGGAGAACUUGGCUGACCACCUUGCUGACCCAGUCAACAACAAUGCUUGGGCCUAUGCCACCAACUUUGUCCCCGGAAAGUGAACUUAGAGAGUGAGAAGGGAUUUGUCUUGUUUAUGUUUUUAUUUGUUGGUGUGAAUUUAAAUUUGUUGCACAAUCAAUGAAAGUAUAAUGUGAAUUUUGUGUGCUCAAUUUUUUUGACUGUUCCAAGUCCAUUUGUUUCAAAAAUGAAAAUGGUAAAAACAGGUGAAGCACAUGACGCUAUAGACAAAACGAAAAAUAAAACUGUAAAUUUCGACAAAUUAAGUAUAAAUAUAUUCCCGAAUAAACUUCUCAGCGUUCUAUUUAGUAUCUUGAGAACUAGACAAUGUUACAGUGACCACUUACAUAUAAGUAUAUGAAGUUACCCUGAGGAGAAUGAAGGCAAUGUAUAUAUAUAUACACAAAAAGCUUUAUCAAUGAUAUGAAUGGUGUGACAAAAUGUAACUAUGAACUGGAUAAAGGUGCAAUGAAUACCGAACUCACCAAUGCAGGUUUAACGUUACUGACCUUCACUCAUAACCAAUGUCGACAAAUCAGGGCUGCUUUCGAUUGUUCUUUUGUACUUGUCCACUCAACCAAAUGUAACUUAAUUGUUACUCGCUUGUGCCCUUGCUCUUGAAAUAGACUUGGCAUAAAGUUCUUCGUAUCGUGAAGCUGAAGAAUCCCAGCUGAAAUCUAUAUUCAUGUUCUUCUGAACGAGUUGUUUCCAACUCUCUUUGUUGUUCUUGUAGAAAUUAAAUGCACGCUCCACGGCACCGUUUAUUCCCUGUCAGGUUUUUAACAUCAUCCAAGGUUUAAGCAUAUGAUAGAGAACCAAAACAAUUAAGUUGGAAUGUUGGCAAAUCAUGUUUCAAGAAUUCCUAGAGUUACCUGUUCAUCAGGAGUUGUAAAUGUAAAUCCGUUUCGAAUUUGAUGAGGUAUUGUCUCCUCAUUGACAUCGAAAACGCUAUAGAAGAAAGAUUAGAAAAAAGUUAAGAUUUAUGAUUUUACGGUCAAGUAACUUCAUAUUAGUGGAUUUACUUGCAUAUAAUUCGAGUAAAGUAGUUUACCUGUCAUUUAGACCGCCAGUUUUUCUUGCAAUGGGUACUGAACCAUAUCUCAUUGCUAUCAUCUGGAUGAAAAAAGAAAACAGACCUAGUAGUUAUUUAUUAUUCAACAAGAUUGCUCUAGCUGGAGUUUGGAGUUUGGAGCAUACCUGUGUAAGGCCACAAGGUUCAAAAAUAGAUGGGAUGAUGAACAUGUCAGAUGCUGCGUAAAUGGCAUGAGAAAGAGACUCGUCAUAUUUUAAUAUUAGCCGAAUGUGUUCGUGGUUUUGGAAUUGGUUUGCUAUACCCUCAAAUUCCCUCUGAAAACAAAUAAAAGAAAAAGAAAAUGUAAUAAUUUAAAUCUCAGUGUACUAAGUAUGGAACAAGAAAAGGAUCAACUUAAAAUAAAACAAAUAACUCCGCAUGGACUGAUAUGCCUGAAUGGAGUUUUUAUUGUUUUUAUAGCUUUCAUUCAUGCAAGCAGAAAGAAAUCCGUUGUUCACACAGAGAAAACAGCAGUAGAGAUUCACCUGAAUGUGGGGAACUGGACUUGAACCAAGUAGUACAAACUGACCGCCCAUCUCCAAUGUUCGAUAUAUGGCAUGUUUAAUCAGAUGAACACCUUUCUGUGGCACCAAUCUUGUUAUGCAGCCUACCUAUUCAAUAAUAAAAGACUUCGAGUAAGAAUCCAGGCAGUAUUCAGCUAAGAAAUAAUAAGAACCUCCUAUAAUGCUGUGUUAUUGGAACCUAAAGGUGACCUUAAACUUACAUUGUAACUCAAAAGCUUUCAUAGAGAAUAUAUAUUACAUCUUAGCAAUGUUGAUAUAACAAAUAAAUACUUCGGAAAUAAAAUUACCAAUGGCCGUUGAUCAUCAGCAGAUGAAAGCCCUAGAUUCCUUCUCAUUGCAGCUUUAUUUUCUGCUUUCCCUUGCAUAUCAUUAGCACUAUACUGCACUUUGAGAAAAUUAUCGGUGGCAGGAUUCCAUGCAUCAGUAUCGAUCCCAUUUAAGAUUCCCAUGAACUUUCUUGAGUGAGAAUUCAGUGUUGAAUGGAGGCCUUUUCCUCCCUGUAAAAGUUAGGGACAUGAUUUUGUAGUUCAACCUUAAACUUAUAAAAGGAAGACCAUGUUCUUGAAAGAAAAACUACAGAAUAUUCAUACCUCAGCAGUUCGGACUUCUUGUGCAUAAGUGGGUGAUACUGUCGUCACUAUGUUAGAGAACACAAUUGCACCCUGAAAAGAAGGAAACUUAGAAAAAAGAACAGAAAGAAACUCUAUUUGUUAUAGGCUUAUAGCCAAACCAGUGAUUACAGCACCUUAACAGGAUUGACACUGUCACGUGCUGUGUUAUCCUGCAUCCUAUCAGGUCUAUUUAACUCCUGGGCAUCCAGACCACAUGAUGCCAAUUCUGAAGCAGAUGCAGUCCCUUGGUACUCAAAGUUAUGGCAUGUAAAACAUAUUCGAGCUGAAUUUAAACCUUUUGGAGCAUACAAGUCCCAGUAAAGUGGUGCCUGAAAAUGUAGUCAGAAACACACCAGUCAACAGAACAUUAAAUCAAAUGCCAAAAGAAACAUGAGGCCAAAAUGUCAUACAACAAAAGCUGUCUGCCAAUCAUGGCAGUGAAUUAUAUCUGGUUUCUUGCCAGCUUGAAGAAGAAACUCGAGUGCCGCGCGACUGAAAAAUGAAAAACGCUUGAAAUCAUCAUGCUCUCCAUAAUAUUGACCUCUCCAGAAGAACUUGUUGGGAUGAUGAGGCUCAAUAAAAUAAACAGGAAGACCUGUGAAUUUAAUUGCACAUUCAGAAAGCAAAGCUAAUAGAUAACACGCAACUAGAAAGGAAAGAAGAGAUUCUCACCUUCAACAGUACCAACCCAAAUUUUAUUUUGAAAUAGUUUGCCAUCAAAAUAUGACUCUACAGUCACAUCUAAGGCCUGUCAAAAAAAUAAAAUAAAAUCAUCAGAAGCAUAUAUUGGCCUAUGACCUUAGUGCAUCUCAAAUAUGCAAACAUACCCUUAAGUCAUGAAUGCCGUCAUAUUGCAUACAAUCAUAUUUUGGAAGAAUAAUCUCUACAAGGUGUCCUUUCUUCUGCAGUGUUUUACCAAGACCAGUCACAACAUCUCCCAAACCACCAACCUGAUUAAAAGUUAUUGAAUUAAGAGAACAGAGCAACAGAAAGAAAUCCUCCAAACUAGUAUGUAAGAAUAUGCAAGUGGAAAAAUAUUGUACAAGCUACAUAGAAGCAAGAGUCAGAAAACAAUUAUUGAACAUUCAUUUCUCAGUACUAGGAAUUCGGCGAUCAAUUUUGUAAACAGAUAAAAUAACCAUUCUAGCAAAGAACUUGACAUGUAGAGAUAUAUUUAGUAAUUAUUAAAAGAUCCAAAGGGUAGUAGCCUAGUUGCUAACAAAUAGAGAAAAGAGAAUGCAGAAACAAAAUAAUGUCACCAUUGAGACAUAUCUGGUCACAUAAAACAGCCAGCUACCCAGCCAUCCAGGUUCAAACACAAGAUCAAAAAUAUACACUUGCAAGCACCCAGGCAGCAAUUUCCAGCGGCACAAAGGUACACAGGCAUUGGUGAUUAUACACUAUCAACUUCUUUCAAGCAGAUUGAAACCAUGUAUAGUCUUUAUGCAUAAUUCCAGUUAAGACUUCCCAAGGAGCUUCGCUCCUUGGAAUUUAAGAGCAAAAGAAAAAGCUACACUAGGGGUGUUUGAAAUAGAUGAGGAUGAAUUUCUCAGCAAAAUAUGGAAAAUAAAAUGAAAACUUUAAGCUUGUUUGAUCAAGGUAAGUAAUAGGAAAAGGAAAUCCAAGAAAACUGCUAAAAGGUCUGUCCAUUGGUAAGGAAAGUUGUAAACUUGUACUUCAUAUAAAAAGCAUGUGGAUUAACAAGUAAAAUGAAGAUGUCUACUUCAAUGAAAUUUUAAAAGGAAGAAUUUGUUUUCGACCUUUAACAAAAGAAUCCAAGCCAUGAAGUACAGCUUUAGAUUAACCUAGACAUCGCUCUACUGCUUAGUAAUUGAAUUCCAGAAGGAAAGAACAGUAGACUCUGUACAUCUGUCAGCAUUAGCUAAUAAACACGAAAUAUUUAGUGAAAACAAUGCAGUCUUCCAUUAUGAUGAACUGAGAAACAACUCAAAGUGUAACUGGUAAUGCAUAAACAAUCAUAACUAUUGUAGUAUAAUCAUAGGAGAAUCCAUUGGUGAACAUGGAAAACCACAGAGGAUGUGGAAAAGAACUGUUGCAAGCAAGUAUAGUGAGGCCACAAGAUUAAAGAAAAAGUAAAACGCAAUAUAUUAAGAUGCUCCUCUAUCUUACAGCUUUUUAUUAUAAAAAAUGCAAACUAUGCAAGGCAUAGGAACCAGGAAAAUAUCAGCAACACCUAGAAAGAAAUUAACAAUCUAAUAAAUACAUUGUUCAUUUUGACAGAGUCAAUCAAAUAAGAAGUCAGCAAAUCUAUGAGAAUACAACAUUAGAUAUGGACAUGGGUUAAGGGUUUGAAGGUAAAAAAAGACUAGAAAGGAUAAGGCCUCUUACAAUGUAUGUUCAUUAAGAUUAGCCAAGAAAGCAACAAAUAUGAGGGGCUAAGUCUUACCUUAGCAACUGGUGCCAUCUCAGCGGCAAUAUGAACGAUGUACAACCCUGGACUAAAGACAAAAAGAUGGACAAGUUAAAAAAAAGCAGUAAUGCAGUAAAAUUAAUUAGUUAAAGGUAAGCACCUAGUUUGUGAGGAUGCCAGCCGGAGAAAUGUAGAUAUAACUUCACGCUCAUUCUUUUCUUUGCAUGCAAUAUGUGCAUCACGAAUGCAUUGCUCCUUCUUCCACACCAGUUCUCUCAAAAGCUUUGCAUCACUGUUUGAUAUUUUCUUCUCAAGCACCCAACCAUCAAUAGUAAGCAAUAAGCGGCUCCAAAAUUCCCAAGGCACAUCAUCAACUAGUGCAUCUGAUGUCCUUUUCUUGCUUUCUUCUUUCAAACUAUUAAGAGUAUCCUGAAAUGCCUCCAGAGAUUCUUGAUAUAAUUGGACAAAAGAAUAUAUCUCUUGAUCAGACUUUUGAAGACGCUCCUCUAGUAGUUUUAUCUUUUUCUGUAUGAGUUCAUUAUAUUGUUGCAUUUUGUCAGAUGACACCUUAAGGACGUUAACCUCUUCAAGAGAUUUUUCCAAUUUAUCAACCUUCUUUCGAAGAUCCUGGUUUUGCUGUAACACUAAAGUGGCUUGAUCAGCCUGUUUAGUUGCCGUAUCGAACAACUGUUGCAAAUUUUCUACCUUUUCCCAUAGCUCCUGGUGUUCAACCUUUAUAGUAGAAAUAUUUGAAGAGUCUUGCUGAGAAACCAAUAGUUUAGACUCCAACUCCUUCACAGAGGACCCUAGAAAAGAGCAUUCAUUUUCCAAUGUUGCCAUGCGUUCAUCAGUGUUCUUGACAUUGCUAAUCAUAGACUUAAGUGCUUGGAUAUCAUUUUUUAGGGCUAGAUUCUCUGUCCUUAAUGAAUCAACAUCCUUGUUAAGAGAAUGAUCAUCAUGUGUUGAAAGCACUUCCUCAUUCGAAAAUUUCUUUUGAUUCUCAUAUGGUUCAAGCUCACCCCUGCCAGUUAACUCAUUUCGCAACAUCUUUAAUUGACUUUCUAGGAACUCCACAUGUAUCUUUCCUUGAGAAGCAACUUUAAUCCGUGCAUCAGCCUCUGCCAAUCUCAUUUCCAAAAUGUUAAUUUCUCCUUGCAAAGUCUCCUUCUCAUCAAGAACUUUAUCAAUAUCUUCUAGCGCAUGAACCCGUGCUUGAUUGAGAACAAGGAUAUCUACAUAUUUAGAAACGAAUGAAUGUGAUGAUAUGUAUAUAUCUCGAGUUGUGUACAAAAAUAAGAUCUACAUAGAUAUAAAUUCAACAAUUUCUUAACAGCAAGUUAUCUUACUUCUCUCUGCAUUUUUUAUCAUGCCUACCAGUUCCUCUAGUUGCAUACUUGAGAGCUGCUCUCCAUUUAUGGCCUGCAAAAAAGAAAAUAGCUAUAAUAUUUUAAGUUUAAACCUUUAAUUUAUAUAGUUCAUCCUAAGAAAACAUAAAAUAAUAAGUAUAUGACUAGGUAUCUCUUAUAGUUCCAUAACUAACUGCUUCUCCCGAGACCUAAUAAGUUCGGGACUCUAACCUAAAAAGAAAUCAUUUUUAUCAAAACUCUGCAGUAUAUUGUACCAGAUAAAGCAUCAAUAAAAAAAUCAGAUCACUGCUGAAUGGAAAUCUUAAUUAUUAGGGAGAACUCAUAAUUACUAUAAUUGCUGGACACAACAAUUAAGCAAUGGUAAAGGUGUUCAAUUAUUCUUCCACUUCACCAUCAUUCUGAAAAAGUUAAAAAAGAUAAAACAAAUCAAACUAAAAUAUCCAAACAGACAAUAAAAAUGUAACACCAAGCAACACAACCUUAGUCUAGAUUCACUACAGACUUAUUCUGCAAAUGAAAGUACCAAAGCUUUUGUUACAGAAGGCAGCACGAGGCCGUUUAUAAUCUGUUCACUGGUACGCUCCACGUCUCCGUUAGUCUCAACAGCAGAGGCAGAUAGAGUGCCCGAAUUCUGUUCGGCGAUAUUCUCUACAUCUAUCACAGUGUUAACAUCAUCUUUUCCACUAGUUUCAUGACUUACAAAAGGCUCCACAUCUACACCAUUUGGAAAAGAAUUUUCAGGUUCAGAUUCCUCAUCCCUAAUCGGCAGCAACUCUGCACUCGUUGGAAUCCGCUCAGAAGGAGGUUUACUCAUUCGUUGCCUUUUAUGAUUUGAACUACAUAAAUAUCAAUAAGAACAUAAAAUUUAAAAAAAAAAAGAAAAAAAAAGAGUGGAUUAUAAGUUGUUCUAUGAUUUGGAUUGAUCAUAAUCAGUCAAACUCAUUGACUACCCUAAUCAUUAGGUAUAAUUCGCAUUCAAACAUAGAACCAUAUGUCAUUAGUUACUAAUUCCUGCCAUUAAUCUGCACUAAGAAAUCAAAAUUCUAGCAAAUAAUGUCUAGCUUUUACUAUAUCUAGUUGAAACGAAGUUCUAUUCAGUAAAAAAUUUCACAAACUCGAUCAAGGAUAAAAACAAAAUCGAUCUUUCAAAAAAUACCUGAGAUUACGUUGCCGCAUUUUACAAUAAGCUGGGAGGAAUUGACGCGAAGGCAAAAACAGCACCCUCAUAUAUACAUUCUUAUGCUUAUCAACAGUGUUUUUAUAACUACUGUUAUUCAAACAACUAAAGCCAUGACUGAAAAAGCAAGCCGAUAACUUUGCAGACAUUUCUUUAUUAUGAUGAUUCUUUUUUCUUUCAAAUGACUGAGAAAAGCUUGUUUUCCAUUUUUCUAUGCCGACGAAUUUAAAAGAUAAAUGGGAGGGUAAGAAUAACCGCUUUCUUUGGCAUAACGAUAGCUUCCUGCCUGAGAGGGAAAGCUUAGUAUAAAAAAAUGAAGAUACUAAGUAAUAAAUAUCUUAAAAUGCUGAUAAUAUCUCAGUGGAGGGAAUGAAACUCCUUUUGAUUGAUGACUCCUUUUAUUGUUAAGGUAUGACUAUUUUCGGUUACAACCUUAUCUAAAUCCAACAUAAUAUAUUUAAACAUUUUCAUUUUUCAGUAGAGGAUUUUGAAAGUAUAUUUUAGAUUAUCUUUGGUGAAAUAUUAGAAUUAAUUUUUUAUAAUUUAAAAAAAUUAAAAUAUCAUAUUUUUUAAAUUAAAAUAUAAUUGAUAUAAUUAUAUUUUUAUUAUAUAAUUAAAUUUGUGAUGAUAAUUUAAGAUAAAUUUUAAAUUUUAAAUUGAUUUAAUCCAUUUUAAAAAUACAAGAACACCAAUAAAAUAUUAGAUAUUAAUAUUUAAUGUCCAAUAUACUAAAAAAGCUUUUAAACUAUUAUACUUUAUUUAAAUAAAUCUUAUUUUUUAGUUAAAUAAACUCUUAACUCUUGUUUACUCAUUAAAAAUUUUAAAUUUUAAUAUUAAAAAGUAAAAAUAUGUAAACAUGUUUUAAAAUUUUAAAUUAAUUUACAUUUGAUAAUAAUAUUUUUUUUGGACCAAAUUAAUGUGUUCAUCGCUCAUAACAGUAACUCAUCUAUAAUCUAUAUAAGAACACAUGUUUAAAGAAAUUUUUGAAUUAACAAAAAUAUUAUUUUUUAUUAAUUAUAUUAGUAAUUUGAUAUUAAAAUAAUAAUUUAUCAUUAUGUGAUAAUAAUAAAAGUAAUAUUAAUUGAAUUUUAUAAAUUGAAUUCAUUAGUUAAAUUUUUAAUAUUUAAUUUUUUAACACUUAUUUUGUCAACAUUUAAUUUUUAUCAAAUUAAUUAAUAUUACUUUUAUUAUUAUCACAUAAUAAUAAAUUAUUAUUUUAAUAUAAAAUUAAUAAUAUAAUUAAAAAUAAAAAAUUUUAAAUAUUUUUCCAAACUCGCUUUUAUUUAGAUUAUAGAUUAUAAAUAGAGAAUAUGUUUUUGCUUAUGUAAGUUUAUUAUUUACUUCUUUAAUUUAAUUUAGUUUUUGUUGUUUAUUUAGUUUUUUAUAUAAUUCAUGUGAAUUUGAUGAUUUAGAAAAAAAAAUUACAUGUCAAAUUUUUAUUGGCGGAUUUAGCAAUUCAAUUAAGAUGUUAACACCAGAUAUCAUAAUAAAACACAUAUUAAUACUUCAAGUACUACAAAGUGCAUGUACCACAUUUGAUAUUUUAUAAAAGUACAGGUACCAAAAGUGAAAUUAUCCCCUUUAAAAAUGUUUAGUUACCUAAAUGAAAAAGUUACCAUGGUUUAAGGGCUUCUUUUCUAUUUAGGCCUUCAAACUAUCCCGCAAACUGUGGAUUUGAAGGAAACGCAAAAAAAAAAAAAAAAAGAAGUUAAAAUCUUAUUCUUUGUAAAAUCCGUUUACUUUUUUAUAUUUUAUUUUUAUUUCCGCCAAAAUCAGAAAAUCUUCUUCUUAAUGCACUAAUAUUCUCAAUUUCCUCAAAAAAAUCUUCUUCUUAAUUCCAAAUUUAUUGAUCCCUGGAUUUCGAAUCAUACAAUUUAAAUUUCCUCUCUUAAUCCUUGUUAAUCUGUUUCAACAAUCAACAUUUUAAAUCAAAUCCUCUACUCUGAUUUUUUUUCUUCUUAUAUAUCACUUAGAUCAAGAAAUGGAGAAAAACACUAGCUGUUUUUUCUCCAAUUCAUCUCCAAAUCUUGUAAUCACUUGUUUCGUCGCCUUCAUUACCAUCAUAUUGGUUCGAUUUCUCUACGUUAUUUACCGAACCGGUAAGCCUCUAAACAAAAGAACUUCGCAGCAGACUCUCAGUACUCUCAUUGUUUUAGGUUCAGGUACUCUUCAAAUUUCGUUUAUCUGUUUCCUUAUUUGCCUUUAAACUUCACGAUGUUUUAUUUUGAUCUUUGGAUAUUGAUUUAUCGAUAUAGGAGGACACACAGCGGAGAUGAUUAAUCUUUUAUUAGUUUUACAAAAGGAUCGAUUUACGCCCGAGGUUUUAUAUCGCCGCCGCUACUGAUAAUAUGAGUCUUCAGAAAGCUCGCGUGUUUGAGAAUUCUUUGGUUGAUUCGGUAAAAUUGGCUACUUCAAAUUUUAAUUAUGUUAUUAAUUGCUACUAGGAUUCUUUUUAGUACUUUCUUUCAUUGGAUUUCAAUUUGUUUAAUGUGAAUUUUUGUUCUUGAGUGUACGUUUUAUAUAUUCCUUUGAAUUAUUAUUAAUUAAUGAUUUUGAUAUUCUUUUUAGUACUUUUCCCCUUUAUGUGUCAAUGUUGUUAAUUUUCGAUGUUAUUUUUAAGGUAAAUGUAGCUCUUUUUUAUUGGAAUGUUUGAUGGCAUCACAAUUGAAUGUGCAUCACUCGUUCUAAAUGAUAUCCUAAUUGCAGACCCUCAAGUAUGAUCCACUGGACAGCCUAGACUAACAGUUUUUUUCAUUGCCGAUUUCGUGUGUUGGUAGUUACUUUUUGCAAUCAUUUCUAUUAGCUUGUAAAAUUUAAAGUUUUAAAUGAGUUUUGACAUUGAAUGGAGGAUGGUUCCAUAGCUGUGCUUAUCGUUAAGAAGUAGAACUAUGUUUCAUAAUCAUUUUGCUGUUUUGCUGGUCAAAUAAGAGAUUUACUUCUUAAACUUAUUUCAACAAUAGGGUGCCAAGGGAAUCUCUGCAGAGUUUAUGCAAAUCUAUAGAAGCAGGGAAGUUGGUCAAUCAUAUGUAACUUCUGUCUGGACAACUUUAGUUGCUACGGCUCAUGCAUUGUGGCUAAUGAUUAAAAUCAGACCUCAAGUGGUAUUUUUCUGUUUCUGUUAUGUCCAUCCAUUUUUUCCCCUUCCAAUCUUGUUACUUUUAUUAAAGAAAGAUUCCAGAAUCAAAUUUCUAGUUAUUAACUUGACUUUAAUUGCAGGUUCUUUGCAAUGGACCUGGUACUUGUAUUCCUCUAUGUGUAAUUGCUUUCAUUUUCAAGGUUUGUCUGUUUUCCCUGGAAGCCAUAUUAUUUUGUAUUGCUUUCUCUCUGAGAUAUUACUGAUGAAAUUUUUCCAAAAGUUAAAUGCAUAAACAUUUGUACAUCUAGGAAAGUUGGAGUUAGCCAUUUUUCUUGGAAAUUUUGCUUGCAGGUUGUUGGGAUUAGAUGGUCAUCCAUAUUUUAUGUUGAGAGCAUUGCAAGAGUAAAAAGGCUCUCUUUAAGUGGUCUGUUGCUUUACAAGUUACAGAUUGCAGAUCAGUUCUUUGUGCAAUGGCCACAACUGCAGAGAAAAUACCCUCGAGCUCGUUAUGUUGGUUGCCUGAUGUAGUGAAUUAAGUCUGCUGCUGAUGGGUACUCUUAUUUUAACUUCUAAGGUUUUUUUUUUUUUUUUUUACUUAAAUAGUGUAUUCAGCAACAUGGUCUGAAGUAGACCAUGAUAUUUGGCCAAAAAGAAAAAGUGAUAGAAUGCGACACGAUUCUUUUGAAAAUUUGACUCUAUUUACUACAGUUGCACAUUAACAAAAGCAUGUUAUUUAAUAAUUCUAGCGUAUCAUUUCACUGCCCGAAUAUUAAGUCCUUAAAUUUGUUGGCAAAUAACUUCUGAGGCAUAAGUUUCUAGUUCAACAUUUCAAAAACCUCUGCAUGUGUUUCUCAAUUUAGAAGCUUUCUGAUCAAGCCAUUGCAAGCAGUGCAUAAUCCGAAUGCAUAUUUCCUUUGGAGACUUCAGUGUGGCUUGCUGGACCAGUUCUGAAAUAUCAGGACAUAGUUAGUAGAACUAGUGAUUUGAUUAUAAAAGGAGUAAACUUUUGUGAAGGGAAAAGUUGAUAGUGGAAGGUGUAAGAGUCCAAUAGAAUACACCAAAGCUAUGCUGCUUGCUCAUUGACAGUGCAAGCAACUUUUAGGUGCCUAGGUGGUGAGAGGCAGUAACAAGGAACGAAAAUCAGGAAGCCUACAAUUUGCGCAAGUGUAGUUACCCAUAUGCUUUUCCCACCUUUAUCGUAGUAUAGUCAUCUCAAGAGUGUGGAUGCUGACUGGUCAAAGAUCACCGAAAGUGCAUACAUGAUGAUGAGAUCCACUUAUAGUUUCUGGGUUAAGGGCUCACCGGUUUCUUGCCAUUCAGAUGCUGAGGUGAGCUUUCUUCCUUGAUUGCUUGUGAGAUGGAUUUGGAGGUGGUAGAAAAAGUUUUUAACCGUGACUAUUAAUUAAAAUUGAGAAAGUGCAAAUUCUUUUAGGUUCUAAUUUGGUUGCUUAAUAUUAUUUUGAAGAUAUGCAAAUUAAAACGUUUCGUUUUGAUGGAUGAUAAUGGAAAGAUAAAUUAUAUGAUUUUGCUUGACUGGAAUUCAAUAUUGAACUAGUUUUAACUUUUAAAUAUUUUAUUUGUCAUAACAAG